This 77520-nucleotide long non-coding RNA is filed under the name Vitis vinifera (wine grape). RNAcentral's name for it is "long non-coding RNA (VVIN_LNC002495)". The record is from RNAcentral. Lineage: Eukaryota; Viridiplantae; Streptophyta; Magnoliopsida; Vitales; Vitaceae.
AGCAAGCGCAUUAAAUCACGGAAUUAAAUCCAACUGCCAACCAAUUCCUCCCCAUCUCUCAUGCAUGCCCCUUACUGAGUGGUGCCCAGACCCACCACUUUCUCUAUAUAAACACAUCCCUCGUUGAAACCUUUUCCAUCAUCACUCUCCAGACCUUCACUUUCUCUUCUCUCCUAGCCUUACUAAUUUUCUCAGACACUGAGUAGUCAUCAUGGGUAGCUCCGGAGCUGUGAAGCUAGCUUGUGUGAUGGUGAUAUGCAUGGUGGUGGCGGCACCGGCGGCGGUGGAAGCAACCAUAACAUGUGGUCAGGUGGCAUCUGCCGUGGGCCCGUGCGCUAGCUACUUGCAGAAAGGUGGUUCAGUGCCAGCUGGGUGCUGCAGUGGGAUUAAGAGCCUCAACAGCGCGGCUAAGACCACAGUUGAUCGCCAGGCCGCUUGUAAGUGCUUGAAAACCUUUUCUGGUUCCAUCCCUGGCAUCAAUUUCGGUCUUGCAAGUGGGCUUCCGGGCAAGUGUGGUGUCAGCGUUCCUUACAAGAUCAGCCCCUCCACUGACUGCUCCAAGUAUGCUCUAUUAAUCUCUCACUACUCAUGAUAUAUUUAUAUAGAAUUCAGCUUGAUUAACCAAUAAGAUUUCUGCGACUGAAUUUUUUUUUUUUGUGAAUGUGUUCAGGGUGACUUGAAGCAAAAGGUGGAGUAGGAUGAGCUAUGGUAGCAACUAGCAUAAGAAUAAAGAAGUGGAGGGUAGAGGCUCCACUUGGACCACUCAGCCUUUAGUAUUAGUAGUACUAGUACUGGCGUCAUAUUCCUCUCUGUGGUUGUAUGACAUCUACUGGAGCGGUUGCAUACUUGCAUGUAAUAAAUAUCCCUGCUGGUUGCUGGACCCUAUCAUAUUAUAUAACUUUUACCCUCUCUCUCUCUCUCUCUCUCUCUCUCUCUAGUGUCCAGGAAAGAGAAAAACACAGAAAAAAGAAAAGGAAACAAACAGGUCUCUGGAAUCAAAUUUAAGAUAACUAGAAAAAUAUGACCAUGAAACAAUAGGAAAGAAGGAUAAGAAAAAAAUAUUUUUCACAAAGUGGAUGUAUAGGCUUCUUUUAAUUAUAUAAAUACCUUUUAAAUCAUAAAAAUUCAUUAGACUCACCAUGGACAGUAUGCAUUAUGUGCAUGCUAUCAAAUAAUAUUGAAAAUGACUGAUGUCCAUGUGAGCUGACUAGCUUUAAUUAGUCAUAAUUAUAAUCUCAAAUCAAAGUAAAAAAAAAUUUAAUAUUUUAGAAGGGGCAUUGCACAAAUUAUGUUAAAUAUAAAAUGAUUUUCUAAACAAGCUUGAUUCUAGCCUUUAGAAGGUAACUCCCUCAUAAUUCAGCUUGGUGUGGUAAUUCCAAAGGGGGCUUUUACCAUGAGCCCAAUGUCGUGGCGAAGGUUAUACCUUAGAAAGUCAGUGAAGCUAAGGUUUCGUAUGUGUUAUAUCCUUUCGAUCGAGCGACAACUUCUAAGGAUCAUUCCCCUCCCCGGUGCUAGAAGGUCGGAAGGAGAAGUGUUAUAAGCUUUGAAUGGAAGCCCCGGUAAACGGCGGCAGUAACUCUACCUGUCCUAAGGUAGCGAAAUUCCUAGUAACUAGUUGUUUAUAUCGAACUCGAAAAUAUAACUUGACUAUUCGGGACAACUAGAGGAACAUUAUUGCCGGCACUAUCAAAGGCCGCUAUUCCAGACCAAAAGUAUGGAAUAGAGUAAGGCCUUUAUUAGAAAAGAUGCAUAAAAACAACUUAAAAAUACUUUUAAUUUAAGAUGGGGUUUAUUUUUUAAUUGAAUAGAAAAAAUCAAAAUAUUUAAUUUUUUCUAUUCAGUUAAAAAUAACAUAUUGAUAUCAAUCAAUAUAAAAAUAAAUUCAAUUUAGUUAUUGUUAAUAUCAACAUAUUACUUUUAACUUAAUAAAAAUAAUCAAAUAUUUCGAUUUUUUAUAUUCAACUAAAAAACAAACAUUACCUAAUACAAAUAUUGAAAUUAUGUAAUUAGAGACUAAGGAGACGAAAUUAAAAAGUGGCAAUACUUUUGUUAAUAAGUUUAUUUUAGUUAUAUUGAUUUAUAUUAUUACUUUUUUAAUAUAAAAAAAUCAAAUAUUUAAUAUAAAAAAAUCAAAUAUUUUAGUUUUUUUUUUAUUCAACCAAAAAACAAACACCUCAAAAUUGAAAUCAUAUAGUUAGAAACUAAAGACAUGAAGUUAGAAAGUGAUAAUUCUCUUAUCAACAAAUUACUUUAGUUAUAUUGAUAGAUAUUAGUAUAUUACUUUUAACUUAUCGGAAGAAAUAAAAUAUUUUAGUUUUUUCCAUCAUUUCAAAAAACAAACCCCAUGUAAGACAAGUAUCAAAAUCAUGUAGUUAGAGACUUGGGACGUGGGGUUAGAAAGUGACCAUACUCCUCUGUUAAGUUUGAAAAUAUGCAUUUGAAAAGAAUUUUGAAAAGAAAAAAAAAAAAAGUUAUGAAAGCAAGGUUAUCAGAAGGAUGCCUUGUUAAUUUUACUGUAAAUUCAGUCCUCGUAUUCAUCGGAGAUAAAAGCCUUUUUAGGUUAUAAUUUUACCUCCAAAUACAUUAAUAUUUGCUACCUCGUAGUGUGAUUGGGGGUCAACCAAAGAAUAGGAAUCAUGGGGAAUUUUGUGCCACACAUUUAUGUACGAAACUAAUAAAUGUAGCUCCCAAUUCGGGUGUAUACAUUUAUCAUUUCCAAGGUCUAGAUUAGCAUGCCUACCAAACAGUCUUUUCUUCAUUUUUGUGCAUUUUUCAAGGAAAUUGAUUUUUAUAUAAAAAUAAACAAGGUUGUGAAAUGAAAGUUCUUUUUGUAUAGCUUCUUGUGUUUAAUUUUAAGGGGAAGUUACACCUAAAACUAAUAUCAUAAUUUUUAAAGAAUAAUAUUGAUAUUAUAUAGUUUUAUUAAAUGUAAACCUUUUAACAUAAAUUAAAAUAAAGGUAAUGUGAAAAGUAAUAUUUUCUUAAUUUUCAUAUUUAAUUUUUUAAAAAUUAUAAAUUCCUUUAACAAAAUAAACCCAAUAAGUAUAAAAGUUCUUAUUGAGUUUAAAAAAAUAACUUAAAAAAGAUCAUCAAUUAAAAUUUCAUGUUUUGAUUCUUUUCAAUAGACAAGUUGAGACAUGUAAAAUUGAAUGCAUUAGCACGCUCUCAGCAAGUAAAGUAACAGAAUUUUCAUUAACUUCCUACUAUUUUUGAAACAAAUCUAAAUACCAUUUACUUCAAACAAAAACCAAGUUAAAAAUUAUCUAACAAUUUCAAAGAUUACACAAACAAAUUUUAGCUCAAAUUAUCUACUAAUCCACUUAUCAAAACAAAGUUAUUUUCUUAGUCAAGAUAAAUAUGGAAAAAUUAACUAAUAAAGAAAUAGAAAGAAUAAAGCAAUGACACCAAGAUUUAACAUAGAAGAUCUUUAAAGAAAUUAAAAACCAUGGAUCUAUAAAUGAUAAAAAAAACAUCCACUAUAAAUAGUAACAACUGUUAUAAGAUUUUACCUAACUCAAGUCCGUCAAUCCUUCUUGAAUCACUUGACUGAUACUUUUCCACUUCAUUUAUCUGUUUUUUUUUCCUUUCAAAACAUACUUAAAGUCCACAUUAAAUUUAAUCUUGACCUCUUCUUAAGUUCACACAAGACGAAAAUAGGAUUUACUUCAACCCAAUAACCCUAAAGAGAGAAUGGAUGAAAGAACCAAAAGAAUUAGUCCAUACUUUAAAAAAACCUCAAUCAAAAAUUGUUGUAAACUUCAAAAUGGAUAGGAGUUUCUUGGGAAACAAACACACUCAUACUCAGAAUGGGAGAGGAGUACAAUGGUUGUGUGUGACAACUAUUGGAGCCUCAACCCUAAAAUGAAGGUUUUGGAUUUAAAUAGGAAGGAAAACCUUAAUCUAAUGACUAAAAAAUAAUACAACAGUAGAUAGAUUGAUCCUGGAUCAAUCUUGGAACAAAGCACAAAAAUACGUAGUUAAAAAAAAACACAAAAGCUACCCAAGUCUCCUAAAACUUCUUUAAAGGAUUUUCACUAUUUUGAAAAUCCCGAUUGAUUUAAUUUUGCCCCUCCACUACCUUAACUACAUACCUUAGUCUCUAAAUACCUUCAACGCCUCAAAGUUCUUUAUUAGACAAAUAAUCGGAGGAAGGAUUUGAUAGACCCAAAUUAAGAGACCGCUCGUGAGCUCUUAGUUGCCCGAAAUUGCCAACUACGACACUCACAAUGGGGCACAACCACUUAGACUCACAACCCCACCUCAUUCCCAUGGCUGGCAGCAUAAUGCACUUAGAUUGCGCGCUCUCUACCACCAAAGCUUGUAGCAUUUUGUUACAUAAAUAUACUGAGCAACAGAGAAGGUAAUUGUUUUGAACUGCUUGGCAAAUUUGUUCUUUGAUAUUGGGUACAAAUGUCUCUUGUUUUUUAAAAAUUUAUAAAAAUAAUGCUAUUAAAUCUGUCAAUAAAAAAACAUUUGAUGGGUUGCUUCUAAAUAAAUGCGGAGCAACGUAAUACUUUUAGUUUUAUGACGUGAAGGCAUAUUAUCUGUCAAGGAAAUCCUACAAUACUCUGAUCAAUUUCGAAAGCAGGACUUCCACAAAGAGCUAACCGAUUUAUUUGCCUUUCUUUUCUCUCACUGCCACAUUGCUGAAUAAAUUAAAGCUUUGGAAAUGAAUAUUCAAUCAUAUAAGGCCUAUCAGGUUAGAUUGGACUUAGAACCAAUACAGCGCAAUGGGGUCUAAACCCAAUCUAAAACACUCAGAGAUCUGGAGUUUAUGGUUGAGUAAGCCCUGUUAUCAUUGGAAUUAACACACGUGAUUCAUUUUCUUCAAGCAGGAUCAACUGUUUGGCUCCUUUCCCAUUCAUCUCAGUUUCAGAUCAUAAUCAUUCCUCAUCUUAAAGAACUGCUUCUCUAUCCUAACCAUACGAGGUGUUUAUUUUGGGUUACUUGUCUGAUAUUUUUUAACUUAGAACAAUUCCUUAGUUUUGAUCAAGGAGUUGGACGUCAAUUUUUCUCACAAACGAAAACCAGCCAGAGAAAGAAAAACACAGAUCCGGGCACGGUAAAGAAGUAUCAGAGCAUUAAGCUAAGCAAUUGCAUACCCUCACACUUGCUCCUAUAGAAACAACCAAAGCUCACAGCAUUUUCAUCAGCAUCCAAACGUCUAAGCCUGCAUUUCUCUUUCGGUGCUAAAAGUUUUUGGGCAGAACAGCCAGUCACUCAUGAUGGCCAGUUCUAGAGCGCUUGAGUUGGCAGGGGCAAUGAUGUUUAUCUGCAUGGCGGUGGUUGCAGCACUGGCAGCUGAAUAAGCCCUAAUAUGUUAUCAGAUGAACAACACCUUCACCAAUGCAGUUCUUUCCUGAGGAACGGUGGUUCAGUCACAGCAGAAUGCUGCCAAGAAGUUAGGACCCUCAACAAUGGAGUUAAGAACACCAAAGACCGCCAGACCACCUGUGUGCUUGAAGAAGGGCGAUAUCCUCCAUUUAUGGAAUCAAAUUGAACUACCUCUCUGAGCUUCCAGGCAAAUGUGAAGUCAGCGUUCCAUACAAGAUUGACCCCUCCAUUGAAUGCCUGCAGGUAUUCAGGGCUCAUGGCUCUGUCUUCUGAGCAGUUGAGCAUUACUUUAAAAUUGAUGAUUUUUACUAUUGUUUUGUCAUUGUGUUGCAGGGUGAAGUAAGGUUGACAAGUUAACAUAUAUGGCACUCAGGAUAUAGUAGAUUGAGACAAAGAUGGACGGAGAGAGACCUAACGGGGACUCCUCUUCAUCCCAGAAAAAAAAAAAGAAAAAAGAAAAAAAGAGAAUGCCCAAAUAUUGCAUCUUUUGCACUACAAAUGUACUGGAUUUGCAUUCUAAUAAAAUAUAUCGUGCCUCAAGCACUUUUAAGUGUACUGGAUCUGGAUUGAAUGUGGUAAACUGUUCCAAUUGUAAUAUUAUCUGGAAUAUACUCAAAGACCACCAACAAAUCACAUCCAAAAAGAUGCAGACAGGUGAAAAUGAGUCAAGGGAUUUUUUUUCCUGUUCUUUUUGCCCCUCUUUUUCAUGACUACAGGCUUCUGAACCCUAGUCCUUGAGACACAGGACUAAUCUCAAUCAGGUAAUCACCCACAAACCCAAGAGAAGAAUUUCUCAUUUGCAUGGCAGGGCCAUGGUUUUUGGUUUAGAAGAUCAACUUAGCCAUCUAAAAGGAAGUAUAGAUUAGCUCAGGUAAUGUGUGGUAAAUAGCAGUUGACAAAUAGACAAACAAAAUCUAGAGAAGAUAAGGGAUUCUAGUUUCAGAGCUGAUUUUGCAAGUUUGCUAAUAGUGCUUAUAAGCUCAAGAAAUAUAAUAAUAUUAAUAUUUGAUCAUCCAAAAAGAACCUAGUGAAUUAUAAGAUGAUAAGAAGUUCAUGGGCAUCUAGCACAAAGAAAAAAAGAAGAAAUAAUAAUGGAGCACCAGUGCAGCACCAUACCUCUUCUUUAAAUUAAGCAUUGAAAUGGGAACCCUGCAAGAAAAGAACUUGCGACUCAUCAUACAACUAAAAAUAAGAAAUGGGAUUGGAGCUUCUCUUUUUGGAUUCAUACCUGCCAGAAAUUUAUUGACUAGAAUUUGUCCUUACAGGAUGUUUUACUCUUUCUAAAUCAGUCACUGUGCUCAAUUGUAAACAAAGUGCUCCACAGCAGGUUGUGGCUCUCGCAAGCAUGAAGCGAAUGCAGAGCUGAGAUAUUGUUGAUUAUCAUUCAACACAAAAGCUCAUGGCUUAAAUAAAACAUCUUUCAGGAAACUGUGUAUGUGUAUAUGAUUAUAUACAAAGGCAUUACUAAUUGUCAGCAAUUGGAAAUAUGGGAAGAAAUAGUUCUAAUGCUAAAAGAAAAGGAUAAGGUGCAUUUAAUUGGAUAUCAAUACAUUAUUUUACCUUUUGAUGGUAGUCUACAUUUCUCCUGUGGCAUUUACAUCUUCAUCAAGUAGAAGUCUCUCUAGCCGAGACACAAGGUUAUUUGAGGAGAAGCUUAAAAGUUCAUUAUCUCUUCUCAGGUCAUUCACUUCCUUAUUUAAAUCUACAAUCUGCCCUUCAAGCUGCUGGCUUGAUAAAAGCUGGUCUCCUAAUAUAUUAUUUUCUCUUCUCAGUUUGUCUAUCUCUUCCAUUAACUUCAUAUUUUGCUCUUCUAAUAACUGAUAUCUUGUUCUCAAGUCAUCCUCCUGAAACACGUAUUUCAAAUAAAUAACUGAUGGGAUGAAAAACAAAUAAAAAAAAGGCAAGAAAUAAAGAUAUACAUACAACACUAAUGGUAAAAUUCAUGGAAGAAUUCUUUGAGGUUGAUGGAUGCUGCAUUUGCUCUUUUGGUUCCUCUGAAACACAACAAGAUGCAGAUGGGCAUCCUGUUGCAUCUGUUAACACUUCUACUACAUUUUCUGGUGCCCUCAAAUGCUCCAGAUUGUUUUCUUGUAUCCUGUGCCCUUCUCUGACUAUUUCCCUUUCUGACCCAUUUUCAACUGCUUGUUUAUCCAUCAAGUGAGAUCUGAUUCUCAAGUUAUCAUCCUGUUAAAUGAAAGAAGUUCUGUCACAAAAACUCAAUAAAAUACUUCAAACAAGCAAGAAGAAUGUUUACAUUGGCAAGAGAAGCCCCCUCCUUUCUUACAUUUUCUUUUAAAAGAAAUAAAACUAAGGAAAAGAACUCACAUCAACAGUCAACAUAAUAGAUGAAGGAUAUUCAGGUUUAGAAACAUCCGUCCUGUCAUUUUGUGCAGCUAUUAACUCUUUGAUUAUAUCAAUUUCUAACUCCUCAGAAGUCAGUUGAAGUUCCCAAGUUAUCUGAUAACAAACAGAAGUUGUCAGCACCUACCUAACAAAAUUAAAACAAACAGCAGUUCAGUUGGAUACAUCAUGAGCUACCAUAUCAAAUGGGUGUCAUGUUAGAACACUAUGGCUAACUCAGUUAAAAGUUUUUGAGGUCUAAAAACAAGCAAAACACUUUUUUGUUGUUUCAAUCAAUAUGCAUAUGCAGGAGACCACAGGACCUAUACUACCACUACAUAAAUUAAUUGUGAAUAUAAAAUCAGUUUAGAUAGGUCUCAUUGCCUGAUUUUCCUGCAGUUCCUUAAACUUUGUAGUGAUCCAUUUUCUUUGAUGUGACCUACAAUUUUCCCAUCGGCAUGCACGGGGAAACGUCAAGUAGCAAUCUAGCAAACUAGGCCGGGCAAUGUCAAUAUGCUCAUAAGACCAUAUCUGUUCAGAACAAUAUAACCAAGGUCAAUAUUGUAAUGAUGCAUAAUAGUUACUUAAAAGAUAAAACAGCCCUUAUAAAUUUUUGCAUUAUACUUGGGCACACCUUAAAUCCUCUGGCACCAAUUCCCCAUGCUGUUUUGCAUAAAUAAUCAAGCAAAACACUGUGCUCCCUACUCAGCCUCUCUUGUGCUUUUAUUUCGCAAAAAUUUUAGGAAGAAAGAGAGAAGAUGGAGGGAGGAAAGAGUGUUGAGGUUGUGUAUGUAAUGUCAUAAAAAAGAUGCUCCAAAUAUUUAUGUGAAGACUAUAGGGAUAGCUCCUUGACUAAACAAGAAACAUAUGACAGAGAAUCAAGAAAUAUUAGAGAUAGAGUUGAAGAAACUUACUUGGAGAAAUAUAAGACAACUUCCUACAUAUUGUACAUUCAUUUCCUUUUUUUUGGACAACCACUUAAUUAUGUCCUCUAGAACAGCUGCACCCCAGGCCAGUUGAUGCACAUUAUCCAAGUCUUUGAGAACAGAAAGAUAUCGGGAAUCUACUUUUCCAUUUGCAUUUGGAAAAAGAAAUGUCCCAAAUGUAAAUAAUAAAAAAGCUCUGGCAAAAUCAUCAUUAGCUAUCUCACCAAUGGACUCAAGUUUAUUCUCAAUCGACGAAACCAUGAUUUUCCUAUUUGAAAUAGUAGCACCAUAUUCUUUUUCUAAAUCUGAAAAAGGUUCAUCUUCCUUUAAGACUACGGAAUCACCCAUUACACGUAGUCCCAGAAUGAGUGCAACAUCCAUGAGAGUAAUUGUAAUCUCCCCAGGAAGAAGUAUGAAAGCAUGCUUCUCACAACUCCACCUUUCCAUUAAUUCAACUAAAAGAUUCUUGUUAAGUGUCUGAAUAGGCAUCUCAAGGAGAUGCCCAAAUCCCAUCUUCUUUAUUGCAUUUCUUUGAUCAUCUGUUAGUUUCUCCACUCGCCUGACAAAUGAUGGCAAGGAAAACCUGGUACUGAAAUUCCCAACCUGCAUGCAUAUAUUAAGUGCACAUUUUUAUUGACAUAAGUGUGUGUUUUCCAUAAUCCUGCAUAUGUCAAUUAUAUGUGUGCUUUAUCUAAGGUUUUAUGUAUGUCACAAAACUAAAAAAGCAUAAGUUAAAAAUUUUUUCUCAUUGCCACUUGUCUUUUAGAGAAGUUCUAUUUACCUACCACCAAUUCUGUUUUUCUUUUUCUGAGUUUGUUUUUUCACUCUAUAACCAAAAUUCUCUUUCAGAUGUCAUCCACAAGUUCAAAAACACUGAAUAAACCAAAUCAACCAAACACUUUGUCCUAUCCUUAGUAACCAUGUCAUUCAAGCUUGAAAGAAGUAGAUAGCUUAGGAUACUGAGUUAUAUUCCAAAACACUUUGUCUAUUUACCCUUGUUGUAUUGAUCAUUUUUGCAUCUUAAGUAAUGAUAGCUUAGAUAGAAUCAGUAUUGAUUAAUACAAGACAAUCCAAUCAAAUACGCAAAAGACAACAUCCAACAAAGCUGAACAGCAAAAGAGGAUGCUUGUUUAGUGCAUAUUGUGAUAAUAUAUUAACAGAAGAGUGUGAGAUGGACAAGUGGAAAGAACCGAGGAAGUUAAGACAAAUAUCAAAUGCAUUUAAGAAGCAUCAAAACCAACACUGCUUGUGCUUUUAAAGUAUAUGAAGUUUGAUCACUAUGUUUUGAAAUGUUAUAUAUCCUUUCAAAAGUUUCACUCUUUUAUACAAAAGUAGACAGGUGAGAACCUCUUCAGAAAAUUUCAGCAAGCCAGAAGGGAGCAGGUUGCAAGUGCAAGACAGAGGUACUAGAGGGGCAGUAUGAAGCUAGGAAAUUGAUGACAUUCAGUAGAAAAACCUGCUAUGCUGAUGACCAAUUGGUGAGAUGAUGAAAAUUAUCUCAUCAAACACAAAUUCUUGACAAUGCAGAAAAUAGAACCAUGCAUAUAAAGGUAUAAUGCUGUUGAAUGAAUGAGUGUUGCAAAUGUUUUGCUUGAGUUUGGUUGUUUGAUUCCCAGAAAGUAUUAAGAAAAUUUUAAAAAAAAUAUUAAGGAAAAUGAUUUAUGCACAUUUUGUUUCACUAUGAAAAAUAGUGCAAGAAAAUCAAACACAAUUAAAAUUAGUUAAAAAAUAAUGCAUUUUCCCUCAAAUUUUCCGGAACCAAGAAUGGCUUAAGGUAUAUAAUUUCCAAGUCUUUGUUUACUGCUACUAUAGAACUAUAUUCCCUUCAAUUUUUUUUUAUUUUUUAAGUUUCAAUUGAAAAGAAUUCUACUUUAGGGUUAUGAACGUUCAAUAGGUCUUCUACAGCAAUUUUGUUGUUAGGUCAUGGCAAAAAUACAUGCUUUUUAUAAAAAUAAAAAUAUGGGGAAGACUAGGUACCAUGAGACCAUCCUGAAGUGCCAAUUCAUGACACCCAGGAUUCAAGUCCCUGUAUGGCCACUUCCACAAACUCAUCCCUUCCAGAAUCCCAGAAACAGGGCCACGAAGCAAUGGAUUUUAUGAGCCUUUCAAUCACAAAAAAUGCACUCAGAUCACAAUUUGCUCAAACAAAAAUUGAUACUCUCCACAUGUGUUUCUACGAAUCGCUACUCCCACAGACACAAAAUGACUAAUUUCUGUAAUUUCCAGGUCCAGGUCUCCACAUCAGCCAAGUGAAAUUUCUAAAUUUUUUUCCCAAAUUGAUAUCACAAAAUUUUAAAAAAUAAAAUAAAAUAAAAUAAAGAAAAGGGGGAAAGAAAGAACGAAAUACUUACCGAGCUCCGUUCUUCUUCUAAUCCUAUGGAAGAUUUCCUCGUCGCUCUCUUCAUCUCAACCCAAUCCUUUCACACUCCUACUGUGAACCCUAACUUUCUCAGGGCUUGAGAAGGAAAAGAACAACCAUUUGAAAAUCUUAAUAAAUCUUACUCGGAUAAUUUUUAUUUUUUUAUUUUAUUUUUGUGAAACUUGUGAUGGAAGCUUACAGGCAAAGUUAAAACUAAAAAGGGCGCGAAAAAAUGGCGGGACAUGAUUAGGUGCUUUGCGUUCACAUACGUGGCUUCUGGUGAUUGCAGUGCAGGUAAAAAUUUCGCUGACAAGGUUACCAUCCGUAAUUGGAUUUUGUGGUCCUUGUUGGAAGCUUUGAUUGAUUUUAAAUUUUAAAAUGAAAUUUUCAUGAUAAAUUUAAAAUGUAAAUUUUUUUUUUUUUACCACAAAUAAUAAAUAUUAAAAUUAGAUUUUUUUUUCCAUUUUUGGAUUCUUAAAGACAUUUUCUGUAAAUAAUAUUUUUUGAGUUUCAUUAAUAAUAUUAAAAAAUGUAUAUGCUUAGCGGUGUAAAAAAAUAUACAUAUUAAGUUCCCAAAAAGUAAAAGAUUGUAUUUUAAAAUCACUUUAUUGUUAUUAAUGAUAAUUAAUAAAGAUGAUUCACAAAAACAUGCUAUCAAAUAAUACAAUAUCUUAGAUUUGUCAUAUGUUUUGUGCCAAAAAAAUGUGUCUGAAAGUCCCAAAAAAAGGGUAAAAAAUGAAUUUUAAAAGCAUUUUCUUAUCAUUAACAAUAAUUAAUAAAAAUAAUACCACAAAAACAUGCUAUCAAAUAAUACAUUAUCUAGAUUUAGACAUAUCUCGAUAUUAGUGGUGAUGAUGUGCUUACAAUAUGGUUAAAAAUCCCAUAGAGGUGUACCCUACAUCUACAAUCUAAAAGUCCUCGUUCAAGACCUGGAGAAAGAAAAAGAAAUAAUAGCAUGUGUGUCUACGCAUAUGCACAUUUGUACUGUAAUGCCCGGCUAAAAUCAUAAUUUAGAAAUUAUUAAUUAAUUAAAAUAAUUUAAUAAGGGUAAAAAAGCAUUUUCGUAUUUAAAACACCUAUAUAUAUAUAUAUAUAUAUAUAUAUAUAUAUAUAUAUAUAUAUAUAUAUUAUAUCUUUCCUAUAUUUUCUAUUCAAAAAAUCCUUUUACACAUAGAUCAAAAAAAUCAGAGAGCAUAGGGUUGAAGGUUUGAAGGUUUAGGGUUUGAAGAUCAAUUUUUCAGGUAAGAUUUUUAAUCUUUAAAUUAAUAUUUUAUAUUCGUUAACUAGUUAUAAACACUUUAGAUAUUCUUUGAAAUAUCUUAAUUUUGAUUAGAGUUCAUUUAAUUAAUUUAUAGGUCAAAAAGAUUAAAAAUUUAUUAACAUAGUUUGAUUUAUUAAUGAAGAUCAAUAAAUUUUGAUUACUCAAAUGAAUAGAUUUAGAAAAAAAAAUUAAAAAAAUUAUAUAGUUUUGGAUGUGAAAAUUACAUAAAAUUGUGAGUAUAGAGGUUAAAAGUUUUGACUUUAGAGAGUGGAAAAAAAUGAUGAAAGAAGCGUAGGAAGGAUUUGACGUGUUGAAAAAAAAAAAAAAAGAAUUGCAUGAGGGAUUUGUUAAGUUUAAGUAGGAGAUUUAAAUAAUAGUAAUAAUAAUUUAAUGCAAAUAAAUAUUCUUAAAAGAUUUAUUUUAGAUAAGUUAGAAAAAAUGAAAUAAAUUAUUGUUUAGGAAGUUGAAAAUAAUAUUGGAUGGUAAUAAUAUUAAUAUGGGAAAUUAAUUAAGAUACCUAAUACUAAAUAAAAUAUUUUUGAGAUUGUCAAACUUACAUAUUUAGAUAAAUAAUCAAUAAUCAAUAUUGUGUAUGAUAUUAUGUUAGGUGAGGAGAAAAUUAUUCAGAGUUAAAUACUUCAAGAUUUUGAGUGCUUUUUCAAGGUAAUGGAAAUUAAUGUUAAAAAAAAUAAUUUUCUUUUUAUAUUGUAUUAUGAAAAGUGUAAAAAUAUUAUUUUUAUCUUUUUGUAUGGAUCAAAUAUGUGUUUUGUAUGGAAAGUAUAUUUGAGAAUCUUCUUUAUUUAUUUAUGAAAAGCGAAAAUUUUUUGAGAUAUGAUAUUUUGUUUUGCAAGUUUGAAUUAAUGAAAUAAGAGAAAAAAUUUGGAGAUAUGAUAUUUUGUUCUGCAUGUUUGAAUUAAUGAAAUAAAGUGUUUAACUCUAGUUCCUAUGGCCCUAGUCAACGGGUUAUAAUUGUUGACAUUUCUAUGGCCCUAAUCAACGGGUUAUAAUAGUUGAUAUUAUAUGACCCUAGUCAAUGGGUUAUAAUAGUUGACCUUAUAGCCCCUAGUCAACAGGUUAUAAUUGUUGACUUUUGGUGUUAUUCACCUUAAAUAGAACAAAUUUGAAACUAGUCACUUAUUUGUGAAGUCCCACCUAAUUGGGCACCAUUUGUUAUUUAAUAAUCAGAGUAAGAUAUUUUGAAUGCAUUUGAUUUGGUUUUGAUGAGAAAUUGUUUUGAAAUGGAUAUGAGAAAGUUUGUUGAAAAGUUUGAAUAUAUUAGUAUUUCGAACUCAAAAGUUUUUAUGAAAAUAAGUAUAUGUUAUAUCUCCUAUUUGCAAAUAUGAUUAAAAAUAUUUAAUCCAUGAAACUGCAUUGAUGUUCCUUAUUGAGUUUUAAGUUUAUGCCCCUUCGUUGAUAAUUUUUCAAGUACUUUUAGUUCGGGCGAGGAGUGAUGGCUAGGCUUAGGAAUUUUUCUUUGUUAGGUCUUUGGUUCAAACUUUUUUUUUGGACAUUGUUUAGAUCUUAAAAUUUAUUUUCCAUUUAAAUUAUUUGAAUUUGGAGUUAUUUGGACAAUAACACUCUGGUUGAUGUGUUAGUUUUUUUUAAGUUGAUACUUGGAGAUUUUAGAAUUUUGUUCUACUACUCUGAACAGGAAUUUGGUAAUUGGUAAAUUUCCAAUUACAAUACGAAUGUUUGUGUCGUUUCCACUUUGAGUCAUUGGGUUUGAGGUGUGAAAUGACCGUCAUAACCUUGUAGUGGGUUUUGGGGCGUGACAUGUACAUAGAUCUUCCAUUUAUUUUAAAUCUAGAGAAGAAAAGAGCCCUAUUUUUAAUAAAACACUUAGGGGGAAAGCUCGAUUGAUUAAGCCUAAACUAACAUCCCUUGUAUUUACUCCAUCAUAAUACAAACUAGAUAAAUCAAAUGAACCUAAUCACAAUUUAUUUUGUUUAAGUAGCCUAACAAUGGACUUAUAUGUUGUUAGUCCAAUGGUUUUCCUAAUCACAUUUUAAUGAUAACAAGCCAUGAUCACUAUACUAGUAAUUUAAAAUCAAGAUGAGUUUCAAGUUUUAUUUUGAGAAAUUCAAAUAAAAAUUCAAGAUAAUCAUCAAAGAAUCAAAGAAGUGCAAGUCCAAGGGUGCAUGAAGACUGUUCAAGCCUAGGAAUUCUUUGUAAGAUGAAUAAAUGGGUGCACUUAGGAUUUUCAUAUAAAAUCAUGCAUUUUUCAAUACUUGAUUUUUCAUUAAAACCCGAGUAUUCUCACAUGAUCCUUAGGCAAAUUAAUUUAAACUUGACUUACUAAAGUACCUAUAAACCUUGACUAAGUCUUAGAAGGAAAAAAAAAAUUAAAAAAUCUAAGUUUUUAGGUCAAAAUAGGUGAAUCAAAGAAAUUGCUCAUCAGGGAACCAAUCGAUCAAUUAAGCCUUCCUAGUAGAGGACCAACUGAGGAAUGCAAAAAAAAUUUCUCUCUCAUUCAAUAGUUAUGCAGUCCUAGUUGAUAGGAACCUUUCUCGGUCAAGGGAAAGCUCUUUCUAAUUGAGGUUUGGUCUAGGGUCCAAUAAUCACUUGUUGUGCAUUUGGUGCACAACAGUUAGUCAACUGAUUGAAUUAGAGCUCGACUAGACGAGGCUAGGUUAUGCCACUUUUGGUGUCCAAGCUAGAAACCUAUAAAUUGAGAGUUUCAUUUCAUUUACUACAUAGAAAACGUCUGUAAUUAUCUUCACAGCUACUUGUUUCUCAUUAAAAGUUUUUUCAUACUUUGUGCAUUGAUUCUUCAUUUGCAAACCACCUUAGCACCUUUGUCAUUCAUCCUAGCUUUCUUUUGUAUUUGUUCAUUUAUUAAGUUAGGGUAAUAUCUUAUUUCAUUGAUUAUUAAAGAGAGGUUGCGAGUAUUUAAAGUUUUAAGUUGAGGUAUACUUGAAGGGAUAUUGUUGCUAGGAACCCUAGAUUUAUCCAUUCCUUUACCCUGAAUUGUAUAGGUGCAUGCAAAACUACCAUAGGUCGCUAGAUCCUAUACAAGGAAAGCAAAAAAUAGAUUUUUACAAUUCUAGGAUCAAGAGGAAAGCCAUUAGAGAAAUUUACCUUUGAUUUGGAUGUUCCUAAAUCAAUUCCGCUUGGUGAAGAUGAAGAAUAAUGAAUCUAAAAGUCUCGUACACCCAAGAUCUUUCUCCUUAUGACUCGAACCAUGAUCCCAACACCCCAAAAUGUGGACUUUGGAAAUGAUGAUCUCUUGGCUCUCACUAUCUCUCUUUUUUUUUUGAGGUGGAAGACACUGUUUAUCUUAAAGUUGUGGAAACCCUAGCCCCUAUGGGGUAUUUAUAAGGUUCCCCUAUUGGGCUCACUAAUUUGAACUCACCAAGGCUUAGGUUACUUAAUUUAACCCAAAAUUGGUCUUAAUUGAUUAAUUAACCAUAUAAGGUCAUCUAAUUUAUCAAUUAGUCCAAUCCAGAGAACUUAUUCAGUAUCUCUUAUGCAACCUUGUGUAAUCACCAAAACACCCUUAUGCACAAGAAUGAACCAAGAGUCAAUUCAUCUUUCAUAAAUCAUGUCAUUAUGGUAUAUGAGCUUAAAGUGGAGACCAUUGGGACCCAUAGAAGUACUAUCUCUUUCAAAAUCCAAUUUUGAAAUUUAUUCAACAUUCCACCAAAGAGAAUCAAUUGCACUUCAGUAUCUUAAGUAAUUAAAAACAAGAAGAAGCUCGGGGUCCAUGACCUAUUAUACACCAUAUGCAAAUUUAUCAUGAAUUGAUGUUCGUAAUCUAACAAGGUAGUGCUAUCAUCUAUUAAGAUUAUCUCUUCAAUUAUUGAGUUAUAAAUUCCAUUUAUUAUGUGAUCAAUUGAGAUAUUAUAACUCUAAAGAGCAUAUAUCAAAUUUCCACUAAAUGAAAUGUUAUGACCAUAGUUUUCUAGAUCACAUGUCCUUUGAAUCACCCAAUGAGACACAUUGUCUCAAUCCAUGAGAUAUCAUGGUGUCUUUAUUGAGACUACCUAUUACCACCAACCUCCAUCAAAAGUGGCUCAAUCCAUAGGGAUAUAUAACCACUUUAGGAUCUCACUCAUAGGUUAAAACCUCUUGUUAACUUUGGCGCAUGCUCAAUAUCCUCUUAAGGUUGAGAGUUAAUGCAGUAUAGUAGUCUGGUGAAUCAUGAAAAUUGAUAGCCUUAUGUCAUGAUUCACCGUAGGUCCAAUCCAAUGCUCAUCAUAUGCGCUAGUACACUCAUUAUAGGAAAAUCAUCCUGACAACCAAGACAAAUUAUCCCACUAAUUAUGAGGUAGUAUACUACAGUCUCAGAUGGAUAGCCCAAAUCCAUGAACCUACUAUGAACAACUCAUCACUCUACAAGGAAUCCAUGACUUGAAUCUUCUGUGCAACUCCUAAUGCACCCAAGUCAUGUACAAUGUAAGUGAUGUAAGGUGUGUAUGUUCAAAUAACCUAUUAAUACAAAUGAGAUAUUUAAGGGAAACUAAGAAACAUAAAUAAAUAAAUUUAUAAAUGAAUUUCAAUCUGUUACAUCAUAUCAUGCUUUCCAAUGCUCAAUCCCAACAAUUGUAAUGUCCAUUGGAGCCAGAAACCAAGUGUAGAGCAUUGGAACCUUUGAAGCUUGAGGAGAGUGAACGUAUAUAAGAAGUAUCGAACCACUAUAAAAACUAUGUUUGCUUUCACUAUAGAUCUCUUUAUUUAUUCCUUUUUAAUUUGUUUAAAUUUGGUAUGUUUGGAAAAGAUUUUUAAAAACUCAAUUCACAUCAUCUUGGGUGAUUUUCUUAAUUGAUUAGCCUUAAAUCCACGUAUGUAAAUAAUAUUUUUUUUCAUUAUUGUUUGUGUUUCACAUAACUUUAUUAUUUAAUAAUGAUUUUUUUUCUUCAUGUAGGAAGGAGAUCAUAUUAUUAUCACCACUAGGAGUUGUUUAUGCUAAAGACACUAUAACUCAAAGCUUUUCUUCCAAUUUAUUAAUAUUUCAACAUUUGAUGUAUUGGGCAAUCAAGUUAAAUACUUUAAAAUUUUCAUGCUAUUUCUAUUUAUAUUUCAAACUAUAUAUAUUAUUGACAUAUAAAAAAUAGUUAAUUAAAGUUUAGAUGUAUAAUCAUAGUGAACAAAAUAAGUGUAGCAAAAAUCACAUGCACUUGCCAAUCACCCCCUCAAACUUUAAAUCUUACGUCCACCAUUCUCUUCAGGUUUUGGGCUAGUCAAAACAUGUCCUAAAUUCACUAUAGAAAUUGCAAAAAAUAUCAUUUCCUACCAUCUAUUAAAGAAUGUUUCAUUAAAAGAAUCGAUUUUAGAGGUAUCGGGACGAGUGUGAACUACGGAAGUUUUUUUUAACAAAAAAUAAAAUAAAAAUUGAUAUACUUUUAAGAUUAUUGAAAAAAUUAGGUCUAAAAAAAUUAUGCUAAACUAAAAUUAACCAAGCGCAAACAAAUAGGAAAAUAAAUUCUAAUUAGGGUAUCCAUCAUAUUUGCCUUAGGUGUGACAAACAUUAUCUUUAAAGUAGAUCUACACUCCUCGAGUAUCAAACUCGGUGCAAUAGAGAACUAACGUCUUACUUUCAUAAUUCAAUAACCAAAAUCCUUGCUUUAGGUGCACACCUUUAGCAAGGAAUAAUACAGCUCAAUCUUAUAGAAAUUCUUCUAAAUGAAAAGUUGAAAAUAUUGGAAUUAGGGUACAACAACGUUCAAGUAUUACAAUAGAGUAUGGUACUACACUAACAAAAGGAGACGUAGUGCUGAAAAAUGGCUACAGUAGAUAGUAGAUGUAAUAACGAUAGACAAUAUAACGAUAAUUUGGUUACUAGUUGUAGUCAAGGUUUGAAAUAUCAAUAAACACGAAUAUAUCGGUACUUGAAUUUUACGGAUAUAUUAAAAAUAUUGGUGGAUAUUUUGACAAAAAUAUCAAUGAGGCGAAAAUUAUUCAAAAUUUAUGAAAAUAUUUGGAAAAACUUCAAAAAAUAAUAAAAUUAAUUAAUUAAAAUAUGUAUGUUAAAAUUGUUUUCUAAGUGUAAUUAACAUAGAUAUGGUCAAAGAGAAAAAUAUUGGUAAGUAAGGAUAUAUUGGUCUUAAUAAUUUAUUAUUUACCUAAUAUAAUUAAAUUAAAUUUAUAAAAUAUUAGAACUUCAUUAUUAUUAUUAUUAUUAUUUAAUAUUUUAGUAUUUUAAAAUAAAUUUAUAUUUUUAAUAUUUUAAAAUAAAACAUUAAAAAUUAAAUAAAAUUAAAAGGAUAACUAUAAAAAAAUUUAAAAGUUAAGUGACGGUAUUUUUUUAAAAAUGGGAUUAAUGAGAUAAAUGAUGAUACAUUUAAUAUUAAAGCUAUAAUUUAUUUAAUUCAAAUGUAUUCAAUAAUGUAAAAUAAAUUAUGAUGUCUAUAUGAUUUUUUAAUUUUUAUAUUUUUAUAUUUAAUUAUCAUAUAAAUGAUAUUAAAAAAUACUUGUUAAGAAAAUUAUAAUGAUGGUUUUUAUACAUUUAUUAAUCAAUUAAAUAAAAUUUAAAUAAAAUAAUUAAAUUUUUUUUUUUUAAUAAUGAACUUUAACAUAUUUAUUAUUAACAUAUAUUAACAAAUGAGAACUUGGCCUAGUGGUAACCAGGCUUGAACUCAAUAAAAUUUGAAAUUUGAAGGGGCUUGACGUGUUGACCAUGUUUGACUUACCAAAAAAUCGGUAAAAAAAAAAAAACGUAGCCAAUUUAUAGAAGAAGGAUCCUAACAUUUUAAACCAUGGUUAUGAUGCAAAAGAAGUAGCUAAUUUAUAGGAGAAGGAGAUUACAGAGAGGAAAGGAGAAUGAAUAACUCUAAUGAGAAUGAGCCAAAUCAAUCUAAUAAAUUUCAAAUGUUAUAAAUGUUUAUAACAUUUAUUAAUCAAUUAAAUAAAAUUUAAAAUAAAAUGAUUAAAAUUAUUAUUAUUUUUUAAUAAUGAGCUUUAACAUAUUUAUUAUCAACAUAAAUUAACAAAUAAGAACUUGGCUUAAUAAUAACCAAGCUUGAACUCUAGAAAAUUUGAAAUUUGAAGGGGCUUGGCGUGUUGACCAUGUUUGACUUACCAAAAAAUCGAUAAAUGUCGAUGAAAUAUCGACGAUAUUUUAGCGAAAUAUCCAGACAUUCCAAACCAUGAUUACGAUGCAAAAGAAGUAGCCAAUUUGUAGGAGAGGGAGAUUACAGAGAGGAGAGGAGAAUGAAUAACUUUAAUGAGAAUGAGCCAAAUCAAUCUAAUAAAUUUCAAAUGUUAUAAAUGUGAGGGGCCCUCAUGUAGUAACCAAGCUUGAACUCAAGAAAAUUUGAAAUUUGAAGGGGCUUGAUGUGUUGACUGUGUUUGACUAACCAAAAAAUAAAAUAAAAAACAGAUAAAUGUCAAUGAAUAUCGAUGAUAUUUUAACGAAAUAUCCUGACAUUUCAAACCAUGAUUACGGUGCAAAAGAAGUAGUCAAUUUAUAGGAGAGAGAUAUUACAAAGAGGAGAGGAGAAUGAAUAACUCUAAUGAGAUGGAGCCAAAUCAAUCUAAUAAAUUUCAAAUGUCAUAAAUGUGAGGGCCCUCAUGUAGGAUGUGAGGGGCCCAAAUUCCCACUAUAAUGGGUUUGAGCCCCUUGGAUGUGCAAGGCUCCCACUCACCUCUCCACAAGCUCAUGAGGCUAAGUGAGGUAGAAUAUAUACCUAUAAAAGUACCUGUUCUUUUCCAAUAUGGGAUAGACACUUUUUAUAUUUUUUUUCAUUUUAAAGAACACUUAGACACAUUCUCUUCCAAAACUUGACACUAUAUAAAUGGUGAAAUCUUCAAAAUUGUGUGAACAAAUUUUAAAACUAUAAGAGUUUAUUACACUCAAAACAAACAAUAUCCAUAUGAAAAGGAUUGACUCAUUAUAAAUGGUAUAAAACUAUGUUCCCGACUUGGUAUAAGACUCUGUUGGAGUUGUAAGAAGCAUUUGUUUGUUUGAAUCCAUGAUCCCAUGGGAUAAGACAAGAAUGUCAUGUUUGCAUGAAAGGAAGAUUAUGAAAUAAAGUUAAUUUUAUUCACAUCUCUUGAGUAUUAAUUGAGUUAAAUACAUCUAGCUAUUAUUAAUUUGAAAUUUUAUCAAAUACUUCUCAUACCUUUUCUAUUUGUUAUUUUAAGGGGAUGUGAGUGAAAUUUACCUUUAGAAUAUAUUACAUUAGUUAAAAAGAAAAAGUUACCAAUACUAUAUAUGUAAUCAACUCAUCUUAACUUUAUAGAGAACUUUUGUAACCAUAAAACCUCUUAGCAGAAAAUGGGUGUUACCACCCGUGAUCAACAAAAGAAAAGGAAUAACAAUACUCUUUUUUGUUUACACUAAUAUCAAUAAAUAAAACCUCAUCCUAUAUCUAUAAAUAUAAUGGUAGAAUAAAAGGAAAGAGUACUCUAGUAUUGCCCUCUCCUUUACUCAUUGAUGCUUUAAUUUGGGAAAAGCCUUUCAAGAGUUGAAAACUUUUUCAGAAAAUUAAUGUUGAUGCAAAUUAUAGGCCAACAUCUAAAAAUCUCAUCCAUUGCCAUGAAAUUAUUUUGCACUCACUUUCUGAAACGAGCCCAUGACAUCCUGAAUCCUAUCCUUUAUAUGAGCAAGUCUCACAUGGGAAUUAUCCUCAUUUGUGGGCCAAUGGUUACAAAAGCAUAUCUGUUCACCACUCUACUGUGGUCUCCCAUGGCCCCCAACUCUGUAAAGCUUCUUGAAUUGGCUAAGCACAGAGGCCAUCGCUUGAUCAAUGCAGUGAAACCAUGUUUCACUGCUAUUUUACUAUACUACACCGAAGUGUUUUAAUGGCCAGCAACCAAGGCAGACCAUGACUGGUGGAGACUGGACAGCAGUUGAACCAUUUCCACCUAUUGGGUUGGUUGGGUCAAAACUCCCAUCGAAUGUUUGGUGACUCUUGGGCUUGACCCCAGCUCACCCAUCACCUAAGCUCAGAUAUUAGGUUAUCUUCUUCUGAUCCCAAUUGACAUUCACAUAAUAUAUAGAAAAAAUCAUAUUUUUUCCAACCCCCAACAGUUUCUCAUUCUAUCGUACCUAACUUCAUAAAUAAUCAAGUCCAGUACCCAUACGGCUGUGAUGAAAUCUGAAUGCAAAGGUGUUAACCAAGAAGGUCCAUGUGUUAGAUCUUGUCCAAUCAAGGGUCCACCCUCAAGGGACACAAGCUAAACCUACCAUAAUUAGCGGCUACACGUGCCACCGGUUCCACCGGCCAUUGCGGAUCGGGGCAUUUGCUGACCACAAGAUGGUCGAUCACUUGCUCACGUAUGAUAUGAGUGGCCCAGAAACAGACUUUAAGGUUUAGUCCCUCUCGGACUGGUGCAGAUCCAUUUAAAUCAGCACCGAUGUGUUUAGUAAAACUCUAUACAAAACAAGAUAAAAGUCCCUUUUCUAAUUUCCAAAUGAAAAGCGAAAUUAAUAUCACAUGAUCAACUUUUUAUAAACUUUUUUGUAAAAAAGUGAAAUGUUUCGUGUAACGCUUUGGGUGAAUGACAGUAACAUCAUGGAAAAGGGGAAACAUAAGUAGGGUUCACUUUGUGUGACCAUGCCUGCAGAGGGUAAAAGGGAAAAGAUGGAAAGAUUUUUUUUUUUUAUGGAUAGGUGUAUUUCUUUCACUUAAUUAUAGUUUUAUGAGCCUACCAUGACCUCAAAAGGUAUGUCCCAUCAAAUGAAACAAAGGCAGAUCAUAUCAUACAGGCAGACCAUCUAACCCAACGGUUGUGAUGAGUGGGGGAAUAGGUUUGAUAUUUACAAUUGUGAACUUGGGAUUUGGUACUGAGGAUUAUUAGGAUUUAUAAAGUUGCUGAUCAUGAUUAGGUGGGCAAAAAGGGAUCCCAAAUGUAUCUCGCUUUCACUAUGUAUCUUCUCGUUUGUGUCUUGUAUAUAUCUCUUGACCCCUUCAAAGCCUACAAUCAUCACUUCACAAGUCCUGUGCGCCACAAAGGUCAGUCCUCUGUAGUAUGUGGAUGUGGAUGAUAAGGAGAAGAGUAGAGGUCACCUGCAACUAGGAAUUAUGAAGCUCAGGUAAGGCUGUGAAAAGUUGUUUCUUGUUCCAAUUUCGAUCCUCUUUGUGGGUUUUCUUUUCCCCUUUUGCCUUCUUGUUGUUGGGUUUUGGUUCCAAGGAGAAACCAAGCUGGCUAGAGAGGACCAUCUCUGAUUGAGAAGCUGGAAUCGUGCAGCAAACGGUCCCUUAUUCGGAUAGCAAAUUACCAUUUCUUUUUCCCUUAUCCUAGAGACAAAGAAGAUGCUCUUUCUGUGUCCCUUUCUAGUUGGAAUCUCGACAACAUUACUGUAAGUCUGUAACUCGAAAGAACAGCCUUCGUCUUUUGCCAUAAUUGAAUCAAUAAGAGCGUAAGAGCAGAAAACAUAGGCCUGCACUUUUCCCUUUUUUUGCUUCUCUGCAGCUACUUCCUCUCUUGGGUAACUCCCUUUAAGUUUUCCAAGCCGUUAGUGGUUAGAUUAACCCUUCUGCUAUAGCCCCCCGAGUAAGCUCAGCUGGGUUUGUGAAGUUGUGGAGUGCGGAACCACUGAACCAAGCUAGAAAAUGGUGAAUCCGAUUCUUCAUCAUCUUCAUCAUCAUCAUCAUCGCCUCCUGCUCGAUACGCCGGAGCCGAGCACCAUGUCAAAUGGGAACAGUACUCAUGAGGCUUAUGUGAACGAGACCAACUUCGACACCAACAUGGUGAUCAUCCUAGCAGCCUUGCUAUGUGCUCUAAUAGGAGCACUUGGGCUCAACUCAAUCGUGCGCUGCGCCAUGCGCUGCAGCAGAAGGCUCUCCCCGGAGUCCCAGGGGCAAGCUGCUACUGGCCUCAAGAAGCGUGCUCUGCGCCAAAUUCCGGUAGCAGUUUAUGGGCCCGGAGUGGAGAUUCCGGCCACUGAAUGCCCAAUUUGCCUGGGCGAGUUUGUGCAGGGGGAGAAGGUUAGGGUGUUGCCCAAAUGCAAUCAUGGGUUCCAUGUGAGGUGCAUAGACACAUGGCUGGUGUCACACUCAUCCUGCCCAAAUUGUCGCCACUCAUUGCUUGAGCGCCCAACAACUUCAGACGCAGCUGGUGAGGUUGCCCCGGAACAGCCACAGCCAAAUGGGUCCACCCACCAAGGUAGCAUUGUCAUUGCUGUCCAUGAGACAAGUUAAUAAUGCUGGCCUUAAAAUUAAGCCUACUAGGCUACAUCUUUUGUUUCACCAGUACUGAACUACCCCAGAUUGCAAAUGCUAAAAGUUGUUUUUCAGAUGAUUCAAAAUCAUAGUAGACAUCAAACCAACAUGCUUCUGUUAUGGGCUUAUCCACAUUUCUCUUCAUUUCUAAACAAAUGGAUCAAUACUAGAGGAGAAGUUUCCGUGAUCUUUGUCCAUGUGCCUUACCAAAAUCCAAAGGUUUUUCAAUUGGGUGGUGCAUUAGACAAGCUUUCUUUUCUCCAUUUAAUAAUCUGUGUAACGGCCAAAACUGAUUUUGGCGAUGUAUUGGUGAGUGAAAGUGCCUGCAUACCACCCACUAAAGUGGGCUGAGAUUUCCAAAUUUCACAUACUCUGUUUGGUUGGGGAGAAAGUGGGUGAGAGAGAGGGAAAUUUUGGACUCUUUUCAACCGUAUGGGUUUGGAAUGGUUGAAAGGUUAUAAAAUCUGUUGCGUCUACGCUUCUUAGCAAUUAAUGGAGCAUUAAGGUCUCAACCUACAAUCGUUGAAAUAAAAAGAAAAAAGAAGAUAACUUCCUUGGGCUGGCUCAUCUUAGCUCUAACAUACUAAAAUCUCAUUUCAGAGCAAUGCCCCCAGUAAAUUUUCCUGCACCUCACACCUUCUGGGUAUGAGGUCCUCCAAUCAAUGACAUUAAUCAGUGGGCCAUCCACUAUCUACCUCAUUGAUUGAAUUGCUUCUAAAUCCUUCCUGUUCCUUCAACUGCAAAGGAAGCUUUGAAUUUUAACCAUCCACGGAACAUCAGAUAAUGACAGAUGGGGGGCUCGAUGAACUCUUUUGUUUCAUCUGCUCCUCCUUAGAUGACCCAUCAUUCCAUGCCAUAUCAUAAACUGUUUUAUUCCCAAAUAAACAACCCUUGUUGAUUAUAUCUUCUGAAAGAGCAAUCAAUCCAAUGGCAGUAGUUAGUACUUAAUCAGAACCAUCAAGUUGGACACCAUUUUUAAAGCUCUUUUUGACAGUUCCAGAAAAAGUAUUACAUAAUAUUUUAUCACCAAUCAGAGCACUUUGGUACGGAUUUUGCGUAUGAUAUUGAAGUUUUUGAACUAAACUUAGGAGUGAUGUAUUUUUUGACAAUACCUUUCAAGGAAAAAGUUCUAAAACUAUGGCCAUGAUUCCUAAAAAGAACUAAGAUUUUUUUCCAUAUUAAUUCCAUCAGUUAGAAACACAGCUUUGUGGGUCUAAGAUUUGUAAGUUGGGCUAAUUUUGAUUCCAUUUCAAGUUAAGGGAUUUUGAAAUGGGGAUCCCCACCAUGGCCAACCUAAUGUUGGAUUUGAAUCCUGAGAAAAGUUGCUUAAUGAGGGAAUUAGGGGUUUGGCCCCAACAAAUUGGCAUCACUUCCCACAAGACCUUGUAUCAAACCAAUAUUUGAGAAGAAUACUAAAUUUUUAAUAUAUGCUAAUAAAAGAAAAUUAAUUAAUCUGUAAAUAGCAAAUACAAAAAAAUGGAAAAUUAAAAUUUGGCAAAAAUGAUAAAUUAGUCUCCUAAAACCGCUGUACCUUUUCACUAAAAACCCUACUCACCAAUCAUCAUUUGGGCCUUGACCUCCAAAAGCCCACUUUCCAAGUCCAUGGUUUUCAUGGUCCAGCACGAACCCCAAACCCAAAUGGUGGUGAGUACUGAGGAGUGAGGAUGAGAGCAAUCAAAAUUUAAAAUCAAGGAAAAUUCAGGGGUUCAACGGCUAGUAAACAGUACACCAUUGAAUUCUCGUCUGAGAGCACCAAAUGCAGGCAAAUCAAGAGCAGCAGAAGCAGCCAUGGAGUCUCCAAGUUCAUGCCAAGGCCAAGAACUUCAAUUUCAAACUCAAGGCCACCCAAAUCAUACCCUCUCACAAGUUCUUUCGCCUCUCAGUCUUCCUCAAGGUCUGCUCUUUUUCCCUUAAAGCUAGAUCUGAACGCGGACCUCCAGCGUCUAGGCAACACCGGACGCCACUCAGAUCCAAAUUCGCCAGGAUUCUCGAGAAAAUUCGGUCCCGAGGCACCAAGAAACCAGCCAUUUCUGCUGUGAAAACCUCGAGUCGUCGACGCCCAGAAGCUAAACUUCCCCAAAAUCAGCGACCGAAACGAUUCGCUUACGAGGUAAUGCGAAAUUACACAUGUUUGUUUUGAUGUUGAUCCAAAUUCUAAUCAAAAUUUUGAUGGGUUUUAUGUGUUCACAGGAACCUAUCUACGUGGGUUCGAUAAUGAUGAGAGGCCUGGCUUUUCUUUCUCGCUCGGUCUCGGUGAAGGACCACAGUGGAAUCAUCAUCCACACCUCAAUAAUCUUGCUGUACCUUGCUUUAUUGUUUAAGAAAUACACGACAAGAGAAACUAGUAAUCUAUUGGCAACUUUGAUUGCUGCAAUAGUGGGUUGUUCGCUUGUGUUUGAUAUGAGCAGUGGCCUGAAUUAUAAUGGCGGCCUUGUUUCAGAAUGUGUUUGGACGAUCUGCAACUUGGCAGCCUCUUCUGGGUGUUUGUAUGUAUUUUCCCAGGUAAAUUUUGCUCCGUUCUAGCUCUUUAUUUUGCUCUCUCACACUUGAAGUUAAGAUUGAAAGCUUCAUCAGUAAUCAGAGGCCACUUGCUCUUAAAUUUCAGGUAAUUUUCUCAAGGUUUUUUCAAUAUAUGAAAGCACUCAGAUGAUUGGGGUCUUCUGGCGAUGAUACUGGUAAGGCUUCUUGUUUGUUCCAUUGGUGUUUUCUGCAAUGGUUCAAGCCAGAUACUUGAGGAGUAAAUAUUUUACAAAGUUUGAAUAAAUUUCUUUAUUGUCCAUUUUUAAGACACUUAAAAGUUUGUGAAGCCAGAAAUCAAAUGUAAAGCUAAAGGUCACAGGCCAGUAGACAAAGUGUAAUAAGAAUUGGUGUCACAAAAAUUUGAAAAUUUUAAUUUUAUAUACUGCCUUCAUGCUUUAAUUUAUUGUUUGUAAAGUAUCUUUCUCAACUUCACCUUACAGUGAGUGAAGUCCCAACCCUUUGAAGAAGGUGGGGGGGAUGGGAGGGUGAAGGGGGAGUGGGGAUCAUCACGGUAGGCAGGGGCAAAGCUAGGAAUAGGAUACGGGAGCAAUAGAAUAGAGGCUAAUUUCAAGAGGGGCAAAUAUAAGCCAAGAAGCAAUGUUUGGCUCAUCUCUCUUAAAACUGAGGUAUUUUUAUUUUCCCCCUUUUGGGCCUUAGGUGGGAAAAAAAGAUUGUGGAAUUCUAAAUUUUAGAUAUAAAUUGUUGAAAAUGAGUUUGGAAUUGGAAUGUGUUUUUCUUUUUUCUUUUUUAACUUCUUUUUGUUUAAUUAAUCAUCCCAUGAUUUUUAUUUUUUUUUAAAUCAAUGUUUCCCUUGAGAUUUAAAAAAAAACAAAUUAGGUUAGCUAUAUAUUUCAUCUUUUUUUAAAAAAAAUUAGUUGUUAAAAAAUAUCAAACUUUUAAGACUCGAGGAAAAUUAAAAAUCAGGAAAAAUUGACAUUUACCAUUGAGCGAUUUUAUAAAAUUGAUAGAAUUUUAGCUAAAAUUCCAUUAUUUUCAUAAAAACAAAAAUAUAAUGUGGUUCAUCAAUUGAAGAGGCUUUUGCAUUUAAGGUAGGCUAUAACUAUUGAUCGAGGAAAAAACCUUAAUCGAUCGAGCAUUGGUCGACAAGUCACUUAACCAAUCAAGAUUUUUGUCUUACAAUGAUUGUUUGUUAUACUUUUGUUCUUCUAACAAUUAAUAACUUAAUUAACCAUCAAUUGAUUGGUUUAGUUUAAAUUGUUCCUAAAUGUCAAAUAAUUCACAUUUUUAACAUAAUUUUUCCAAAAUAAAAAAAUAAAAAAUUGUUGCAUGACACCAUAUGGAAAUCUCAACCCACCAAAUGUUUGACAAAUAAACAAGAAGACCAUUCCUUCAAACAAAGAAAACGAACAAAUAAAGAAGCUUCCACCCACUACAUGUCAAAAUACUAAUAUUAUAAACAAGCAUGAUGACUAUUAGUCUAUUAGAAUAAUGAUUAUUGGUCCAACUCAAUUGAAAAAAUAUAUCUCAGGCAAUAAUAAAGAAUAUAACAACAAAUAAUAAUAUAUUAAUCUUGUCACCCUCAACCAUCCUCCCUUCAUUCUAUCUAAUUUAUUUAACCAAGAUUGAGAGAAUAUUUUUUUAGAUGCCUUAAAAAAACCAUUAAUUAAAGGUUAUAAAAACUAGGGGUGACAAAAUUUAACAUGAUUGGUUAAUAUGACACAACCCUAACACGUUUUUUGCGGGUUUGAGUUAAGUAUAAAUAGUUUAGAUCAAAUACGCAUUAAUUUAGAUCAUUAACCCACAUAACAUGAAUUUGACCCCAUAUUGAACCAUUUAAUAAUCUCGUUAUUAAUCUAAUUAUAUUUUCAAACUACUUAGUUAAUAUUUGACUUAUUUUAAAAUUUUCUUUUAAAUAAAUAGGUCAAUUGAUUCAUAAACAUUAAUCAUAUAAAUAUAUACAAUUCUUUAACUCAAUUCGAUUAUUAAAUAAGAGGACUUGAUUAUUAAAUGUAUUAAAUGGAUUACACAACGUGUUACCUAUUUAAUAAUGAGGUAGUAUUGGGGUUUAUGUUUUCUAUACGAUUAUUAUUCAUGUCGAGUUUAGGUUUAUGUAGUAAAAUACCUAAAAUUUGACAUGACACAAACAUGAUUCACUACUGUGAAUUGCCAUCCCUUUACCAAUAGAAGAUUAAGAAUAAAAUAAUAUAUAAAUUUCAAAUAUCGUUCGGUCAUGGGUUGUCUAUGGCUCCUUAAGAAAAGUAGUGGUUGCAUCAUCAUUAGAAGUAAUUGCAUCCUUAUUUGAAGUGUGACUCCAUUGUAGUUAUUUUGAAUUCUUCGAUAAGAGUAUGGUAAGAAAACUUUUGAAUGAAUGGAAUAGUCAAUCUUGAUCGAAAAAAGACUUACUUUUGAAGUCAUUGUUUAUAUAAAUUAAAAGUCGUUGAAAGUUGCAUACCUCAAUAUUUUUAAAUCCAUAAAUUAUGACAACUAAGGUAGUUAAAUGUGUUUAAUGUACGUUUAGUCAUAUUUUUAUUUUGUUUUUUAUUUAUAUUUUAUAUUUUGUUUUUAAAAUAAAAAAUUUUACAUAUAAAAAUGAAAAUUCUUUUAUAAAAAGUAUAGAUUCGUCUUAUAUCUUUAAAAGUAAUUUUAAAACCUUCUAAAAUUUAAGGUAAUAUUUUUUUUUACAUCAAUUAUUUUGAAAUAAUUUUUAAAAGUAUUAUUUUUUAACAUAAAUCUCUAAGAAUUCUUGUACUUUAUAUAAAAUGUAAUAUCAUUUUAUAAUUUUAAAAAUAAAAAAGAGAAAGUAAAGGUAAUUGUUUUUCAAAAUAAUUUUAUAUUAUCUAAAUAAAGAAAAAAAAAACAUGUUUGGUAAAUAGAAAAGAGAUUUCUGAUAUUAAAAACAAAAAACAUGAUAGGGUUUAUUUGGUAACUAUUUUAAAAAAUAAUUAUAAAAAAUAGUUUUUUAAAGCUAUUUUUAAUUUUUGUAAACAGAAAUAUAUUUGAAAACUUAAAAUGUUUUUAAUAUGUUUUAAAAAUAUUCUUUUAUAUAUAAUAUUUUAUUUUUAAUAAUCUUACAUUUUGUAUAAUUAUUUUUUAAAACAACCUUACAACAAGAAGUGAAAAUCAUAAUUGUUUUUUAAAAUAGCCUUUAAAAAACAAGUGAAAAUAACAUAAAAUAACCAAAAGAUGUUUUCUAAAAAAUACACCAUAUUAAAUAGAAUACAAUUUUUGAUGGUCAAAUGUGUUUUUUUAUUAUAGAGAACAUAAAAUUGUUUUAAAAAAUAGUUCACAAUGCUCGUGAUUUUAGAUAAUAUUUUUUAAUUAUAUUUAGUUAUUUUCUAAAGAGUUAUUUUUAAAAAUAAUUAGAAAAAUAUAAAUAAGGAUUAAAAACUUAUAUAUAAAAAUAUAAAAAACAUGUUAAGAAUAUUUUAGUUUUCAAAUAGAAUUUUAUUUUAUAAAAUAUUAGAAAAUGGUUUAAAAAAAUUGUUCUAAAAAUGGUUUUAAAAAAUUCUUAUGAAAUAUUGUUUUAAAACAUAUUAAAAACAUAAAAAUCAUGUGAAGAACAUUUUAGUUUUUUUUUUUUUAAAGCACUAAGUAUAAAAUUUAUUUUCAAAACAUAAAAAAUAUGUUAAGAUUAUUUUAAUUUUUUAAAUAAAUUUUAUUUUAUAAAACAUUAAAAAAUAAUAUUUAAAAAUUGUUAUUGAAAACGGUUUUAAUAAUUCCAAAAUUUUCAUUUCAACAUGCAAAAUUGUCAACAUUUUAUCGAGCGGCAAAGCAGGCCCUUCACCAAUGCUUCAUCCUGAAAACCGAAAGUAGGCCCGUGAACCAGGCCCAGGCCCAGGAGACAGCGGUGGGCCCGAAUUCAGCCACGGGAGCAGGGCGCGUGGGAAAAGGCACCAAAGAGGAAGAGAAACAAAUAAAAAAAUGAAAAAGACAAAAAGGGGGGGGGAGGGGGUGAUGUUGAGUAGUGGGUUUGAAUGGGAAAACGGGGACCGUAGAUCUACGGGAGGCAAGAGCAGAUCUGACGGGACAGGUUGAGAGUCAAAGAGCUAUCUUGAUGGGUCUCUUUGACCACACCCUCCCUCUUUCUAUUUUAAUAUUUAUUUUAUUAAUUAAUAAAUGACUCAAGUUUUCCAACUUUGACUGCCUUGUCACUUCAUUCCAGGCCCCUCUUCCUUGAAUCUCCAGCCACUCUGCUCCUUCACCCCCAUUUUUAUCAUCUUGCCCCUCCCCCUCCCCGGCCAUCCCCCUAGGAAACCAAACUCAAGGGGGCAUUCAGGUAAACUCACAGUGAGAAAGCCACUUCUGUUGUUUUACUGUAACAAUAAUAAUAAUGAGACUUAAUAAUUAAAAAUAAAAAUAUUUGAAUUUUUAUUAAUUAAGUAUAAAAAAGGAAGGGGGGUUUUGGGUAGGUUUGACUAGUGCUUCAUUGGGGGCUCCAUUCCAAUAUUCUUAUCAUUUUUUUAUUUUUAUUUUUAUUUUUUUUUCUGUCAUACUUUUUCUCUCUCACAAGUCACAAGAAAAAUCUUUCUCUUCCUUUUCCUCAUUUUCCUUUCUUUGACUUGCUCAGGGUUUCGUUUUUAUAGUAUCAAAUCUCCCUCUCUUCUCUGUUUAUCUCUUCCAAGAUCGAAACUUUACUGCACCCAGGGCGCAAUCGAGAUCAGUGGCUGUUGCAGAGACGACUUGUUUUGGGUUCGGUUCGUGUUUUUUUUUUUCUUUUUUUCUUUUAUAUUUUGGGGCCUUGUGUGUUCUUGUUUAUGUUCUGUCUGGUUGCUGGGAAAUCCUAGGAGAAGAAAUGAAUUCUUUAUGGAGGUUUUGUGGUUGAAUUGGCUGUUGUAGGAUUGUAAGGAUUAUUAUUAUUUUUUUUUAAUUUUCUUUUUUUUCUUUGGACAAUUUCUCGGCAUCUAAACGAAGAAUUUCAUUGUAGAGAAUUUUGGAAUUGUAUUAUUGGGAAAAUUUGGAGUGUUUUUUUAGCUUGAUUUUUUUUUUGGAGCUAUGAUGUUCUUGUUUUGAUGCUUGACUUGGUUUCAUCAUGCUAAUGGGGAUGUUCAGUUGAGGUAUUCCGACUGCUUUGAUGGCCUUAACGUCCAUCUUAGGAAAAUUCAACCAGCUAAUUAGUUUUUUUCCCCUCUCUAAUCGCGUGAACCUUGGUAUCUUUUGGUGUUUUUUUUGGGGGGGUUGAGAUUUGGAGUAGUUUUGGAUCUGAGUUGAUUUUGAUGCAGAUGAUUGGGUGCUGAGUUUAUGGGCUUCUUCUCAUCUCUUUUUCUUUCAUGAAGUAUUAAUGGAUUUGCCGUGGGCAGGGGUUUUUAGGUGCUAUUUACUUUUGAUGUUGGCUUACUGUUUGUUUUUAUUUCAUAUUUCUGUAUCGUCUAAAGGUGAAUUAAGAUUGGCCCUGGAGAUUGCAAUAGUAUAUUGCCUUAUCCACAUGCCAUGUUGCCACUCUGUAUGUCUUUAGGGUUUUUGCUGAAAAAUCAUUGGAGGUUUGUAACUUUGUAGGUAAACAUGAUUUGAAAGAUUGUAUCAAUGUGGAGGACAUACAUUGGACCGUCUCUCAUCGCUGGCCUAGCAGAGUUGAGAAAUUCUUUUAAGGUUUGGGGUCAGGCCAUGUAUGGAUCAAUUAGAAAGACAGAAAUCAAAACAUUCUGGACCUUUUUUUUUUCUAGGUUAAUUGAUAAAACCUUAUUCUAAUAAAAUUUCUUGGUGAAUCUUAUUGUAUUAAAUGCUUCUAGUUUAGUCUUUGUUUCUUCAUAGUAAGAAUUGCUAACUUAAUUAAAUAACAAACAAAAAUUUUCUUGCUGGGUGUCAUAGGAAAAGAUUUUGAGGCUCCUAUUUUGUUUUUCAUGAUUUUGGUAUUGUUGAAAUUCUCAAGUUUGAAGCUUGCAAUGACAUGUCAUUUCCUCAUUUCAUCUGGCAGGAGCAUACAAAACCUUGUCACUGGUGAAGACAUUGAAGAUAAAAUGGGCUGUUUCAAGGUUUUGAAGAGUAAGAAGAAAAAGGCUGAGCGCACUGCUUACAUUAAAAGGAUCAAUCCUCAGGAGCUAACACCCACUACACUGCCUGAACCUAAACUUCAGAGCCGCACACUUCAAUCUGCACCCCCAAGUUUUAGAACCCUAGUUAAACCUGUUCAACCAGUUAAAAGAAUCAUUAACAGUAGAACACGAGCAUUGUCCGCCCCAUCAAGCCUCAAUACAACUGAACAAGAUGCGCUUGCAUCAAAUGAAUGUGAAGAACAAGAAGAGUUGAAGAGUCGUGUUGGAUUAACAAAGGAACAGCGAUCGCCAAACCCUCAGCCUCUUCCUCUCCCAUCACCUCAAGGCACUGUUGUACUGAAAGCUACAGGAAGUUUUAAAGCAGGGAAUGCGAGUGGCCCUCUCUAUGCUUCUGGCCCACUGCCAUUGCCUCCUUUAGGAGCACUCCGGAACUUUGGCUAUGAAGAAUUAUCAAACGCCUGCCUCAAUUUCUCUUCAGAUCGAUGUGUGUCGGAAGGACUUUCAUCCAUAAUUUACAAGGCUUCCUUUGGGGAUGAUGCUUCAGGUUCAAAAAAGCUGGAAGCCACUGUUACCCGGCUUCACCCAUCCACCCAGGUAUCACGACUUUCUGGUUUUUUAUUUGAAUGCAGGCCCUGGAUUGAUUAUUAUGUCAUGUCUUUAUUCCUAAACUUCCUGCAGUUCUCAAACUGUUGCAAAUUAUAUAUGAGCAUGCUAACAUGACUAAUGUAAUUGAACUUUGGUGCACCCCCUUUUAGGCAUCUCUUAGUAUACACUCUUAUUUGCUUAUCAAUAAAAAAGCAUGACUAAUGUAAUCGAGUAUAUGAGCUAUAUCUCAUUGAUGAAGCAACUUUUAUGUUUCAACAUUCUAAUGAUUUAGUUUUAGGGCAAAUGUUUAUAGAAGUUUGAAACCGAGAUAAAUUUUCACCUGCCUGUUUGUAUUUUUCAUUUUUAUCUCACUUUUCUUUCUUUAUUCCCCUCUAUAAUACAAAAUAUCGCUAACGCAAAUAGAUUGAUUUGAAGCAUAAGUCUUUUACAAUGUAUAAUAAAUUCUGCCAAUUUUGUAAUAUUUAACCAUGGCUUUAGAUUUGCUAGGAAUUUCUAUGAUUCUACUUUUUUAUUCUUUUUGAUUUUUUUUUUUCUUUUGAAAUGUUUUACAACCCUCAGUACACUGAGAUAUAACCCAUCCUGUUUGUGCUCAUCUAGGGUUUAAAGGAAUUCAUAAACGAGGUAAACACGCUUGCAUCAUUGCAACAUCCCCACCUCUGUAAGUUGCUUGGUUUCCAUGCGCGUGAGGGAUCUGACCAGAGGAUGUUGGUUUAUGAGAGGCUCUACCAUGGAAGCUUAGACCGUCUUCUAUAUGGGAGAUCGGAUGGGCCAUCCAUUGAUUGGAACACAAGAAUGAAAGUUGCUUUAUGUGCUGCACAGGGUCUCACUUUCUUGCAUGAAGAAGGGCCUUUCCAGGUAAGCUGAAAUCCUGUCUCUGUUCUUUUGAAGGAUUAAAAUUGAAAUAGAUGGUACAUGAUCCCCCACAUGGUCAACUAGUAACACUUCUCAGUUUAUGUUGCAUUUUUCUUUUUCUCUUUUUGGUAUAUUGCCCUUUCUUCGUUUGAUGGAAAUGCACAUGGGAGAUGAUAAAUUUCAAUAUGCCUUAUCAUGUUCUAUCAUUAUUUUGGCUUGAGCUUCUAUCCUUUUAGCUUGCUUGCCCAGAGUUGCAUUUUUUUUGGUAGUCAUAAUAAAAACUUUAAUUCUGUAUUUCAUGCUUGUCCAAUCCAUCAGUUCUGUAGAUUUGGUUGAAAUCCCAUCCAGUAGGUCCUACGUUGUGAAUGUUCCAGGACAGUAUGGCAAUUUUCAUGAUUGGUGUAAUAUUUAUUGAAUGUGACCUUUUGGUGGGAGAUUGCUUGAAAUGCAAAUAUUUCAAUUCCUGUUUUUCUGUUUCCCUCAGAUCACUGUCCCAAUUCUGUAUAUUAGGAUUUUUUUUUUCCAGUGGUUGUUGUUCUUGUUGUGUACUGAGAACUUCCCUGUGUGUUUACAGGCUAUGUACAAUGAAUUUUCAACUGCCAAUAUACAGAUUGACAAGGAUUUUAGUGCAAAGCUUUCGGGAUAUGGUUGCGUUGGCCACAUUCCAGAAGCAGAUGUUUGCAGUAGUUCAGUUGUAAGUGCUUUAACUCAUAUGAGGAUAAUUCUAUCAUUGUUUUGGUUUCCGACUGCGAGAUACUACUUUUCCCAUGCAUAGAGAUGGAAUAGUACAAUCAUGACAAAUAAGACACUUAUUAUUUCUGCAACUACUUCCAUCAAGUAAGACUAAAUCCUAAUACAACAAUGAAGUAUUUACUUCUCUGAAACUGUCAUAACAUGACAGCAUGGUGAUUUCUGGUCUUUUUUACACGAGUUCCUUUUGUUCUGGGUGCUUUUCUUUUCUCUGAUUUGUUUUUGAUCCUGGGGAAUUAAUUAUCUUUUGUGCCAUGUCCAUUUAUUCAGGCAGUAGCAAAUCUAUCAGUGGAGACAUUAGAGAGAGGAUUACUAACUCCCAAAAGCAAUGUUUGGAGUUUUGGAAUAGUUCUUCUUGAGCUACUCACUGGGCACAAGAACCUUGACAGCCGCCAUCCGAAGGAAGAGAGGAACUUAGUUAAGUGGAGCCGACCUUAUCUGGCCGAUGAUUGUCGACUCUCAUUGAUAAUGGAUCCUCACCUAAAAGGCCGCUUCCCUGCCAAAGCAGCCCGAACAGUGGCAGAUAUUGCCCAAAGAUGUCUUCAGAUGGACCCCUUAGAAAGACCCACCAUGAGAACCAUUGUGGAGCAUCUCAAAAUCAUUCAAGACAUGAAGUAUUCCUGCCGGUUUCCUCUGCAAGAGCCGGCAGCAGUUGCUGGAAAACAGAUGUCAAGAUCGCCUAGUCUCAAUGGGAUCAUUACCCCAGCGCCCAGGCUAAGUUUCUCCCCUUCUCCGCCAUCAAGAACCCACCUCUCCGUUUCUCCAACAAGACCGCCUGUAGUACCCGUGUCUCUUCCUCCCCGAGCCUGUUCCUCCACUCUCUCUUUGGAGGACCUUGAACGGCAGGAAAGCAGGAAAUCUUCAUCAUCAACAUCCACCUUUCGGAGGCCCAGUGUUGAAGGUUUUUGAUUGUCAAUAGUAUGCAAUUUUUUCAUUUUCAUUUUUUUUUUUGUUUUUUUCUUUCCCCUUUUGUGAUUCAACACAAUAUAUAGAAGAUAAAAAAAAUGUGGUUCUUCCACCUUUCCAUCCCUCAAGAAGAUGCAACAGAGGAGGAUGCUAUUUUGUAGAUAAAAAAGAAAAAAAAAGAAAAAAAAAGAAAAAAAAAAGUGUGAGCCUCUCUUCUUAUUGGGUUCAGUUAGUUUCCUCCUCUCCACAAUUUGAUUUUGCUUUUUCUCCUUCCCUCUGGCAAAUGUUGUUGUGAUGUCUUCAUUGAAAUGAAAAACUGAUUUGUUUGCAAUUUGGGUAGAAAAUAUUGGAAAGGUUCAGAGAAUCUGAAAUUGGUCAAAAUUUGGCUACUUGAACAAAUCAAAUUUCGGCUUGACAAUGACACCUCAUUAAUAAUAUACCAAUCCAAACUCUCUUCAUUUCUUCCAGAAAGGAAAGCUGGAGUUGCCUUUCCCAUCUAUUUUCCUCUAAAUUGAAAAGUCUUUAGAGAUAAUGUAUUGAAUGGCUCUUGAAAAAUAAUUACUAGUUGAUAUUUUCAACCAUUCUUCAAAAUUUGUCAGCAUUUAGAAAAGAUUGCACAUUAAUUUAGUUUGAAUUCAACAAAAUUUUCCUCCUUCCGCUUUCUUGGAUAUCUGGGUUUAUUCUUUAGAAUCUUUGCCAUCUUUUUCCACAAGAAAUCUUUUAAUUAAUUAAUUAAAAUCAGUCUUCCUCUGUAUUUCCGGGUCUUGAAACUAAGACCAGAUCAAGGGCAUUUCUUUUUCCUCCCCUUGACAUUAAUGUAAUUAAUUUAAAAUAUAGUGAUGCAUGUGAUAGCAUGUUAAAAAGGAUAAAAUAUUUUUUUUUCUAAAAUUAAAAAUAAUAUAAUGAAUUAAUUUACUUAUUUUUUUAGUUAAAAUGAUAUUAAAUCAGUGAGAGGUAAAUUAAUAAAUAAUAUUUUGUAUUUUUUUAUUUUUUUAUGUAAAUAUUAACAAACAUUUAUAAAAUUAUUGUAAAAAAGAUGUCUGAUUAAGUUUAAAUCUCAUAAUAUUGAAAUAAAAAUAUUUAAAAGAAUAAUAUUAAUAUUUUUUAAAGUUUUAAUUAAAUACAUCUUAUCACCAAUCUUUAAUUUGGAGUGUCCCAACUCCCAAGUGGUGAAAUCGAGAGAGAGAGAGUAUUUUUUAAGGUUUUAAUUAAAUACACCUGAUAAAUCCUUAACUUGGAGUGUCCCAACUCACAAGUGGUGAAAGUUGAUAGUCUGACAGUCCCAAGUGGUGAAAGUCGAUUACCCCAAAACAUGAUUGGCGUGCGUAGACGGUAGACGCUACACGUUACAGUCUGAGGGGAGUAGAAUCCAAUGUGGAUCCACAAGAAUGACUUUGUAGGGUUCAGUACUUGUGGGUGGCUGACAUCAAAGCAGUACUGUAGGUUUUGAACAUUGAGCCAAUUACCCAGGUAAAUAGUAAAUUAAAAACACCUUGUCAGAGUUGUAGUUGAAAAUGGAUGACUCGAAGGUUCAAUUAUGAUAUUUUCCAUUUUUAAAAUUAUUAACUCAAAUAAUCAAAUUCUAUCACAUCAUAAAGCAUUCAAAUUCAAAUUUUAUAGAUGGUCGAUCACAAAAGUCAAUGUAGUUUGAAAUUUUGUGUAUAAUUGAUGAUUAUUUAGUUACAAUACAUUUUUUUAGUUCAUAUUUAUUUUAAGACAAUUUUGAUGUAAGUAAGCAUAUUUGUUACGAUAAAACCCUUAAGGAUGUUGUCUUAGGGAUGUAAAAAAGGUGUAUCAUUUUCUUAUGGUUAGUAGAUUAUUUGAUGAUCAAGAGAUCAAGUAAUUUUUCCAUGUUGUUUAAUAUAAUUGGAUCAUUUACUUUUGCAUAGGUUCUUUUGUGCAAUUGGAAUAUUUAAUUUUACACAAGAUUAUAAUGCUCUCGCUAUAAAAUUAAUCCAAAGGGAUAAAACCAGAAAUUAGAAAUGAAGUAUUAGUUUAAAUCACCCCUCCCUUUAGGUAGUUUUAUCCUAUUAAUUCUUUCAAUCUCAAAGUAGCUUCAAAUUCACCAUAAAAUCAUAUCACAUAGCAACAGAAGACCUUUUUUGAGCAUAUGACCCCAUCACUUCUGUCGAAAAGGAUCCUGUAAGGGACCUUUGAACUAAACCAAGGCAGGGUGCUAUUUUCUAGGAUAAGUCAAGCUGAUAGGGGAAAUGGAUACUUCAAAUGGAGCAUAGAAAGAAAGAGGCAAUAAACGGAUACUGAAUUAGAAAAGAGAAUAAACUGUUGACCUAAACAUUAUGAAAAGCAAAUCCAAUUUCUUUGUUACAAAUGAUGAUUUCUGGCAUGUUAAGAGUCUAAAAUCCAUGCAUACAUCCUCUUUUAAGAAGAAAUAAUUUUCUAUGACGCAUAUUAUAUGACAAAUAAAAACCUCAAGCACCCUCUCCAACCAUUGGUACAAGCAAUACCAGGCCACAAGAGAAAAACGGAGAGAUAAGUAUGUAAUUUAUAGAGAAAGGAGUUGUUCUUACCAGGAGAGUGAAAAAGGUGGAAAGGGAAGAGGAGCUCACGAAUUAAGCAUCAUUUUUGCUUUGAUCUUGUCCAGAGUGCUCCUCAUCUCCCCCAUUCUCUCGCUCUGAAACUGCAGGAGCAGUAAUACAAUGAUCCUCAUUUAGUGGUCCUUCACUCUCUCCAGUAGCUUGUGGUGGUGGCACAUGUGAUCCUGAGCUGCCUUGUUGCUCGGCCAAGCUUUUGAGACCAUUCUGCUUCAGAUAUGUUUCCAAAGGAAGACUUGCCACUUGUAGAAGACUCAUCAUGCUCACUCGGUUUGAUCCCACUUGCAAGUCCUCCUCACGGUCAGGAUGGCAAUUCAAGUCUAUUUUUCCCUUGCCAGUUUCACUCAACUUGGUGGACAGAUUGUUGCUUUGGCUCCUAGAUUCUGACUCGUUUGCCAACCCAGCUUCACUCUCCGAAGGGUCAGGAUUUGGAGUGGCAAGUCUUGAGGUGCUGUCCACUUCUGCUUCAUCCUUAGCGCCCCAGAUAUUGUGAUUUAUCUGGGCAAUCUCUGCUUCACGCUCUGAUUGGCGCUUUUUUUUCCGCAUCAUUAGUGUUUUAAAACGACGUUUAACUGUCAUACAUACAUUGCAUGUGCAGGUGGGCUUGUGCUUGCCCUUCCCACUGGGGGGCUGGAUACACACAAUGCAUGAGCAGCCUGGGCGAUGCCUCGGGUGUUUGGUUGUGGUUGCAACUGAUGUAGCGGCUGGGUCGCUCAUGUCAUCUCCAAGGGCUGCAGCAUUGGCCAGAGCAUCUAGGCCGGAAGGUUCAUGCUCCUGUGCAGGCCUAUGAACUGCUGCAAUUCGACGUUUUCUGAAAUCUAUUAACCAGGAACAGAAGAAGUGUCACAAAUAUUUUUGGAUUCAAAGUAGACAAUACUCCACAGAGAGAGAAACGGACAUCAUUUCAUAAUAUGAAACACGUGUACACAUGCAUACACAAUGACUUCCCUAUUCCAACCCUGACACUAGUUGCCCAGACGUGUGCUUUCAUUCCAAAAUCAUGGUUUUAAAUUUUCAAAGAUUGAAAUUUAUUCAGUAAGUCCAAGUUUAAAACUCCAACCCCAAUGGGGAAAUACAUUAAUAAAAGAACAGUAGUGUGCAAACGUGACCCUUGGAAGGGUGUAUGUAUUAGUAGGCUUUUCAAGGAGACUACAAACCCCACUGUAUGGCAGCUUCAAGACAAAACCUGAUUGGGACAAACAUCUCCCCCGUUGGGUGUUCAAUGUAUCUGAUGUAAUGUCAUGCACCCAUUAAUAAAGGUGCUAUUAUUCAUUAAAAUUUUAACUACCAGUUGCAACUCUUCAAGACCAUACUGGGUUCUGUGGCCAAUAGCAUUAUAUCAGUAAUGUCUCCACAAUCCUCCCUGGCCACCCCCACCGACAAAUUUAUGAAAUACCCUCAUGCAAAAUACAAAUAUUAUAUAUAAAAGGAAACCAUUUCUCAAAGAAUGUUUCAGGCUGCAGCAAUUAUUUAUUUAGAUAAAAUACAAGUACAGAUGCUGGCAUCAUACCCUUAUAUUGUCUGAGAAUAUGUUCGAGUUCCCUAGGGCUCAACUCAUCUGGGGCAGAACAUGAACACCUGGAUUACAAUAACAGAAGGUCAAGGAUUUAAAGUUUCUCUAGUGGAAAAACACUUGCAUGGAAACACUUAUAACUGACCUGCUUUGAUCCCACAAAUUUUCAGCACACGUCCACUGACAUGGAACAAGAUAAUCAUGGGGCACCUUUCGCCAUUUAGAGCAACUAUCACACUGAACCCAUUGCUCCUCUCCCCUGGAUGAUCAAGCUUAGCAAAUUAGAUGGAUUCACCUAACAGAAGUCUCAAGACAGAAAUCUAGGUAUCAAAAUAGCAGACACAGAAUUUCUCAGGAUAAAAAGUGACUCCUCUUCCAUGUGAGGUACACGUGGCACCAUAAUAAAUGGGCACUAAUUGGUGCCAAAUUGUGUCUUGAUCCAGGGUUCAGACAACUGGAUAAAUUUUUUACUUAAGAACCUGGUAUUAUGUAUCAGUAGAUCCCUAUCACUGGAUGAAUGCUGCAUAAAAACAUAAGAUCAUGACAAGUUUGACACAUUUUACUUAGGAAAACAAAUUUUUGGAACUGCAUCAUUAGAAUUGGAGAUCCUUGGCAUCCAAGGAGGAAGGAGAACUUGGUGGUAGGGAUGGAGGUAGUAUUGCUGAAGGACCUUGGAAGAGUUCAUUUUCGGAGGCAGAAGUAAAACUUGUACAAAUUAAUCAAGACACUCUUUCUCCUAGAUGGGAAGUUAAAUCUAGUGAUCUCACAAGUACUGAUUUCAUAUUUUUUCUUCUUUUGAUUUCUUAGGCUUGGGGCCACCCAGUAAUUGUCACUAGACAAAACAUGGGAAAUGGAAGCAGAAAGGGCAAUUCAAAAAGAAAGAAAACAUGACAUUAGGAAAAUAAAGCAUUAAAGAAGUUUGUAAAUGAAAAAUAAAGGUGCUGAGAGUAGGUAACACUCAUGAAACCUAUUUUCCAGAUGUUUUAGCAACAUUUCCCAUGGGAAACAAAGGUUGAACAUUUUCAAAGAUGGAAAGCACUUAUGAGAAAUAAGUUACCUUAAAAUUUUUUAAACAAGUUUCCCACCAGCUUUAGAAAUGGGUUUCUGGGAAACUGAGUAGAGUUUCCAUCAUGGGGAAAGUAUUUGUAAUUAUGAUCCAGAUAGCUUCACUUUGCAUGUGGGGUUCAGUCAUUGGUGUUCAAAAAUGCUACUUCACAUGCAAAAAUGUAUUAGAAUAAGUUACCAGAAAUCCUUACCCAGAUGGGAGGGUUGUGAAAAUACUCCUCUUUCCAAAAACAGGGGGUUCCUGUAUGACAAAUAAAUAACAUGAUAAGUAAUUAUUAGUAACCUAUAUAUAUAUGUAUGUAUGAAAAAGAAACAGCAAUCACAUAGCUUGUAUGAACAAACAAGGUAGUAUUUAUGUUUAAGACUGAAACAAGGAGCCUCAGCAAAUAAUUUGUACUUUUUUCUUUUUAUUUUUGGCAAACUGCCGUUGUCAAAAUAAAGUCUGUAAGUGGCAUUUGGAUGCUUUACGAGUGUGAGCUAGCAGCAAGACAAUUUAUAAAAGCUAAUUGCAUUACUAUUUUGAGAAUUGUGGAAAGUUUGCUUACAGUGUAUGCCUCAAAUUCGUAGUCCUCAAUCACGUCAAUGACUGGCUUGACACUUGGGGGUGGGCGGAGCAAAGACUGUGCCUCUUCCCAUGUAAGCCUCAGCUCCAGAGCAUCUUGGCCAUCGAUUAGCAAUCUCUUACUUUUAGACCCAAUUGUUCGAGUUCUCUUCUUCUCUGGUACCAGCAUUGAUGGAAGCAGCAAGCCCUCUCUUGUCUUGCCUCCAUGCUUCUCUGUUUUAUGCCAGCCAAUAUCCCCACUAGCUGAAUUCAAAUGUUUUGACAAUGCAUUUAGAUGGGGAUCUGUGCUUCCCUUCAGCGACUGAAGAAUGCCAGAGUAACCACUUAUUAUAGGUUGGUUCUCAAUAACACCCGAAAAGAAAGUUUCACUUGAAUGAGCGCCAUUAGGAAUGGCAGAUAGUUGGGUGUCCUGUUUAGUUAAUAAUUUAUAUAUUAAUAUUAUAUGAUCCAGGUUUGCUAACAUGAAAACUCACUUUGUUUUCCAAGUGUGUGGAUGCAAAUAUAAGAGUUAGUUACAUCAAUGAAGUUGACUACCUGCAUGGAAACGGAGUUAGAUGCUUUCCGGAACCCCAUAACAAGUUUUCCUUCUGGAUCCAUACGGCUGAAUGUUACUGCAGCAAAAAUAUUAAAUGGAUAAAAAUGGAAUACCAAAUGUAUCUUAGCUUCUGGAAAAGAAAAAAGGAAACAGAAAAGGAAGAAAGAAAAACGAAGGGGGAAAAAGGAAAAACCACACCAUAUAUAGGAAGUGACAAAGACAGAAGAUCAUCAGGCAUAAGACAGUCAUUGAUAAUGUUAGAGCAAGUAAUUUGAUAACAUUCUCUAAAAAAUUAUCAAAUAGAAAUUUCUGUCAGAGAAUGGAAUGACAGGAUGUGACAGCAUAAUCAUUAUUGUGAGAAUCCUAAUUAAAGUCUCAUAGUUAGGACCCAAAACACAACAAAACAAAAAAAUUAAUAAGGUCUUGUUUGAAAUGGUUUCUUCAAAGCUAAAAGCUCUUUUUUAAGCUCAAUAGAGCUUCUCUAGAUGUGUUUGGAUAAUUUUAAUAAAACUUCAAAAAGCUAAUUGCCUUAAAAGAAAAAAUGAAAAAAAAAGUUCAACAGGAAAGUUAGGACAAUAUUGUUUACUGUGGAAGCCCUCUUUUUGGCUUAUUGCAGGAAAUUGUUUCAUGUUUAAUGAAACUUUUGUAGUACCAAGAUUGUCCCUCUAAAAUUAUAGACUUAGCUUCAACUUCUACCAAAAGCCAAAACGAUAUCCCAAACAAGGCCUAAGAGAAGAGUAAAGAUUAAUACAAACUAAAAUAUGCUUAGAAAUUUAGUGCCUCUGGCAUUCUUCAAGUAGAGAAAAUAGCUGAGACAUGUUUAUAUCAUGACAGUUGAAAAUUUUUCCUCUUGUAUAGCAAUACAAAUCAAAAGAAUGACGAAUGACUUCACAACCAUUAGUUUUUGUUGAUUAUUAAAUAUGCUAAAAUUGUUGUGGCAUGCCUACAUAAAAUACGAAGCAGGCAAUAGAAGUUACCAGUAUCUCCAGCUUGUAACUGCAUUGACUGUAUGCAUGGGGUCACACCCUCUAAAACAUACAUCCUGCUGUUAUUAUUGGGCCAAAACCUGAAUUGGAACACCCAUUCUUUCCCCUUCACAUCCUGAAUCCUUAAAGGAAGGCCCUCUGGUUGAGAGAUAGGAGGAAAAUAUGCCUGCAAAAUGGUUUAGUUUCAAUUGAUAUACAGAUAAGGUUCAACAAAAAUAAGCUUAACAGUUAAAUUUGGGAAGAACGAAAAAAAAUGAAAAAUGCAAAAGACAACCAAUAAAUAUUAUUUUGUCAAAUGAAAGCCAGACUAAGCACACAAUGGAAAGCUUACUUCAGCACAUGCUUUUGGGAGCACUAAACGACCAAUACGACCAGCAUCACUGGCACUUAGCAUCUUUUCAAAUAAUGGUACGAUGGUGGAAUUUGAGCUUCAAGAAAGCAUGAUUAAAGAAAUCGCUGAUCGAGUUGGUGAAUAAGCAUGAAAAUUAAAAAAAAAUUAACAGCGAAGCAAUCUAUGAACUUCAAAAUAAAAAUGACAUAGUCAAGGAUACUCUCCAGAUAUUUGCUGCAAUUCCUGGUCUGUGAUCCUCGGCCAAUAACGAGGAAGCAACUGAUUCCGACCCCGUCCCUCUGCAGGUGGCCUUGCAACACGUAUUUGUGGAACUAUACCUGUAUUUGUUUCCAAAACAGGAGAAAGUGCUGACCUUGGGGGCUUGGGCAAAAGAUGGCGAGACCUAGGCCCCUGUUGGAUGGGAGUGGAUGUUUUGUGUUGUUCCCUUUCUUCAACGACUGCACUAGGAAACACAUUUGGAUUUCCUGAAGGAGCACCCAAGGUGAUACUCAAAUUUGUCUGAACCAGAGACUCAUGUAUAUCUUUGACCAUCAUGUUUGCUUUACAAAUAUCUAGUUUGGCAUGUAUGGAAGAUCCGAUGGAUGCUUGAUUUAAAUUUGACAAACAUGUACUACCAGUUUCUCCCUGAGGUGGCAAAACUUCCUCCUGUUUCAUUUGGCCAAGAGACCCAUUUAUGUUGUCAUUUCCAGAUUGAAGAAAGUUUUUCAGUCCAUCACCCGAUGUAUCAUUCCCCAACUGUGUAAGCUUCAUCUUCUCAACACUACCACCAUCUAAUUGAUUGUCCACAGAAGUGCAACGAAUUUCACCCACAUUAUCCACUGUCAUUGCACCACUUUCAUUAGCCUUUUCAUCACCUGUCAUCUGUAUGACAAUUUAGAAGUAUCAUAAAUCCCUGAAGGUUGAAAGGAAGUGAUUAAAUUGUAAUAUUCAAUCACUUUCAAGUGAUUAAAAAAAUCUGAUGUAUGCUGCAAAGAACAAACUGAAAUGCACACCUUAUCAAAUACCAUCAUAAACAUCAGAUAAGAAAGUUGUCUGAAAUUAGAGGUAAAUUCUUACUCUUUUCUUACUAAUCCUUUUGUCACCUUCAUUAAUUGAAAGAUACAUAAAUCUACAACACCAGAUCAUCUUAAACCAUAAUUGGAAAUUGGAACUUGUUAAUAAACCAUUUGUUAUUUGUUUCAUUAAUUGGGAAGUGUUUAUAUAGUUGAACGAAACAGAUGAUAAAGAAUCAUACAAACUAAUCAACGAAUUGAUUUUGGCAGUUUGUAACUGAUAUGAUAGUAGGAUGGAACUACAGAAUUAUUAAAUGCAUCCAACCAAAAAUUAUAAAGGAGUAUGUUUGUGUAACUUUUCCAAAAGAAGUCAUAGACAUGUAAAUGAGUUGAUCUUACAGGGUGAGGUCCUGAACUUCUUAUGCAGUUAAUACAAUUUACGCCACCACUAUCAAGUAGCUCAAGCAGAGACCUGGAAGCAAUGCAUCCACAAUGGAGACGCUGGAAACACCAAUUGAAUCAUACUUUUCAACAAUAGCAUGAGUUGAAGAAAAAAAGUGAUGUGAGUUGGGAAGAAGGAACAAGAUACGAGUUACUGGACUACCAACUGACCUUGCCACAUGCAGUACAUUUCCUCCAACCAGAGUCCUUUGAGUGAAACAUGUCACAGAAAACUAGUUGCUCAAAAGCAGACCUGGAGAGAAUUCAGUUGCAAAUAGAAAGUAUCAUCUAAUAAGUCAUAUGGAGAAACCUAAUGUUUUCUUUUCCCAAUAAAUAUAGAUAAAAAAUUGCAGCUCAUCAUGUAAAAUUGUCAUAAAAUGGUGACUAUUAAGUCCCAGCAGUCAGGUUCCAGUCACAUACCUAGUUUCUCAAAAACAAUAAAUGCCAAAUAUUAUUAUUCAUAGGGCAAAAAGAUAAUUGUAAAUAAAAUUGUGUAGUAUUUCUAAAAAACAAGGGAAAGAAAACCAACCAUUAAAGGUCAAGUUCAAGCCAUAAAUUGCUAUGCACUCUAGGCAUCUCCAUGUUUCCACCUUCUAAGGUUCUCAGCAUUUAGAUAGUCGUAUCUAGGCCAAACAAGCUGGUGGAUCAAAAGUUCCUAGUCAUUUAGAAGAAAUUGUUGUCUUCAUGGGUGUCAGCCCAUCAUCAUUAGUGAGGUUUCACCGUUUAACCAGAAAUUGUUAAAUCAUCCAAAUCCAGACAUAAUUAGGAUGAUCCAGUACCAAAAUUUUUUCAGCCUCUUACAAAUCUCAAUGCAUCUUUAAAACAUAUUUAGGAUGUAGGAUGGACCAGAAACAAAUUGCAUGUGGAUACUCAAACCAAAUGAUAAAAUAUCCUUAUUUUUAUUUGCAUGUAAUAUGGAACACAUAAUAUGAUAAAAUUAAAUUUAAAAAUUUUACAUAGGGAGAAAUUAGAUUCAAAAUUUUGCUUCAUCACUGUAUGAGGGUAAAUUGUUCUGUCAUUCACAGAUUGCAAUGACUUGAUUAGUUUACUUACGGACAAGACAAAGAUGAUGAGAUGUGAAAGGCAAUGCAGAUAGCAAGUCAAAUCACAUGCCCUUAAUUUCUUACAAAUAGAAUCCUGCCAAUAGUCAUUUAAAAGCAAACAAUAGGAAGACAAAUAUUUAUUCAACCAAAUAUGGCAUGUAUUUCAAAAAGAAUAAUAAGCUCUUAAAUAAUUUGUAUUUAAUUUUAUCGGGAUAGAUUAAACUAAGGUAACUUAUCAAAUAUAUUUAUCCCCACAAAAGAUACAUCAAGGGAUAAUCAUUAAUGAAGAUGUUUAUCAAGAAACUCUAUUAUCAACCUCUAUUGAUAGCCUAAGCUCAAAAGUGUCAUCAGCACAACUUGGAAGAGAGAUAAUUGAAGCUUCAUCCCUGAAGAACUUUCUUCAAUCCAAUGGACUAACAAUCCCAAAGCUCUACAAGAUUUUGUCACUCAAACCUAUGCUCAUCAUUUACGCCCACAAACUACAAGCCAAUGAGCAUAGUAAAGCUCUUUUAAAUUAUAGAUAUAAAGCUAUACAAACAUCAUUCCUUCAGCAUUUAAGAUCUCAAAGGCUACAUUCAUGGUGAAGCUUUAUUCUUCUCUUAUAUGCUGUAAGCCUCUGCAACUGUGUCAACACAUCCCAACCUUCUGCAGCUGAAUUCACUUUGUCUGGGAACCAGCUCUUCGAGUCUUUGACUGAAGCAACUUUGAGAAAAAGAAUCAGAGGAUAUUUUCUUUAUUGAAGAAUUUUCAGAGUUUGCAUUUCAAUUUUCUUAAACUAAUAAAUCUGAGAUGGUCAACACUUUUCUCAUUUUUUUUUCAGGUUUAAGAUUUGUGUUCACAAAUUUCUAGAAAACCCAGCUAAAUAAUCUCCACCUAAUUCCUAUUUUCAAGUGAAUAAGUUGUGAUCAUGUGACUAGCAACAACAGCAAAUGAAAUAUUAACAUGCACACUUAAUGUGACAUUAGGGUAAAGGACGUGCACCAAUUUUCUUUAAAAAUAGCUACUUUAAAAUUUGUCUUGGGCUUGUGAAUUUAAAAAACACCUGGACAAUUAUCCUUGGUGGAGGUGAAGAAUAGUACCAUUGUUGUGGCAAAGAAGCUAUUGGCUCACUUGCUAAAUCACAAAAUUCAAGUUUGGGUUCUACACUAAGUCAGCAUGGGACAUGGAUUACACCAAUUAUCAAGUCUACAAAUUAUAUUUUUCAUGCCACUCAUGGUGAUUGAAGCAACUUUAAGUGGUUUAAGGCUUUAAGCAAUGAAACAAAUUGGAAGAAUAGUCGAUGCUAUCAAAGAGCAUUCACAACAUAAUCAAGAGCAAGAUGCUCACAGAAAUAAAACUUCAACACAAGCUUGGUUGAUGAUAGCAUGUUGCUAAGAUCCUUCUUGAUUCACACCAUAAGAUACUUCAAAAACCUUCUUUAAAAGAAAAGGUAUUGCUACAAAUCAGCUAAAACAUUUUAUCCUAGAAAAUUUUGUUGCAAAUCAGCUGAAGGAUUUUACCUUGGAGAAAACUCCUAAAACAUGUGACAAUGAAUCUCAAUCCCCUCUCCCACAAACCAAAGUUUUAAAAGAUGCAAGGCACACUUAUGACAUAAAGGCAACCCAACACACAUGUCUAAGUGAAAAUCGGGUGCACUCCAAGUCUAUGUGUAAUUUUAUAUCAUGUAACAAAUAUUAACGCGCAAACAUUUAUAAUAUUUUCAUAUAUCAUUAAAUAGUACUAAAAAUUUCAAUUCAAGCAAUUAAAGACAUCAAAAUUUCACACAUUUUACAUAAAAUCCAACAAAAAUAAUGCUAAAAAAAUCAGUUAUCAUUUAUUUGUGUACUAUACAUAAAAUCACAAAAUAAAUAAAUAAAUAGAUAAAAAUAAUUCAAUUAGUACUAAAAAAAGCAAAUAAAUUUGUGAACUACAUAUAUAUACUGAGCGCCGCAUCAAUGGAUAAUCGUCCUUUAUUAAGAAAUAAUUAUCACUUAUAAGUAGAUAACUGACAAACAAAAACCAUAAAGCUAUUAUAGUUAAUGAUUCGCAAAAUGGCUAAUAAAUCAAAGAAAAUAAAAAUGCCUAAAAUAUUGGGAUCAUAGGAGUUGUGCGUGUUAUGGACAACCUACACAUACAUUUUUCCUUUUCUUCUUCUUCUUCUUCUUCUUCUCCUCUUUUACUCUUCUUCUUUUCAAUCUCUUUCUUGGAAUCAAGCCUUCAAAUCUUCUUUUUUCAAAUGGUAGGGUGAAAAGGUAUUGUUUUGUCUGUUGUUUUAAAAAUACUUAGGCUCAAAAUGACCUUUUUUUUUUCUUUUCUUACUAUGGUAGAAAAAAAAAAUAACUGCAAUUAGGUGCACUUUUUAUUGGCCUUGUGCCUUGCUCUAAGGGUGUGCCUUUUACACCUAAGUUGUGCCUUGUUGAAUGCACCUCUCCUUGUUCUAAACGAGAUGCUAGAGGAGCCAUGUCAUGUCACCUUACCACUGAGAGCAUCUUCGAAAACCAUGCCAUACACACCAAGAAGAGUUGAUAAGGACACCAAUCAGCUACCAAUCAUUAAAAUUUCAACAUUUUGAUAGGACAAGGAAAUCCAAGGCAACACAAGGGUCAAUUUAUGGGGACAUGCAACAAUCUCAAUCUUUUUCCGUUUUUUUUUUUUUUUAAGGCAAAUUUUUGUCCCCAUAAGGGACUUGAACCUGGAACUUGUGUUUAACUCUUCAUUCAUGUACAAGAUCCCUAAUAAUUCAUUGAAACUAGCUUCACUCACAUAACCAUCAUUUUACAUAUGAAGCGGUAAACCCUAUAGCAAAUCCUAAGAGAUCACCCAUUUUAUUUUUUAUUUUUUAUUUAUAAUGAGGAAUGCACCCUGCCAAUAAGGCAUUUAUCCCAACUGUUGAUAAAGCAAACCCUGGAUAACAUAGGUCCACUUCUUUAUCCUACACACUUAAAUUGAAGGAAAGCAUGAAGCAAACCUAGAUGAAAUGGGUCUAACUCCCCUACACCACUUAAAUACAAGGGAGGCUUAAACUAGAUUAAGAAAGAUCAGCCCAUUUUAGAUUUGUUCUCAUAGGUGAUAGAUUAUGAAGUAGUUAUUAAAUUUAAUUUAUUGCUUUUUAAAGUAAUAAUACAUGUAUGGCAUGCCCUAAAAUGAGACUACCUCAAAUAAAUUCCAAAUAAUGUGUGAAUAAAUUAUAAUAAUAUUACACAAAAACUAUCAGCAAAUAUUAAGAAAAAUAUCAUUGUCUUCAAGACCCUAGUUUUUGCGUUUUUCUUUUGUAGGUAAAUUAUAUACAAAUACAAAUAUAGUAGGAAAAUCAUUUAAUAAACAAGGUUGUAAUAGUAUAUAAAAUGUAUGCAAGGCGCACCAAGGCCAAAAGAAAAGAAAAUAUAAAAGGAAAUUGACCCACCUAAGACAACCCCAGAUUACCAAUUAAGUUCAAAAAGGAAAAAUUAGCAUCUUCCACUCAACAUUGGGCUGACUAAAAGAGACACUUAACAAAUCAGUUUAUUGCAACGAAGUCCAGAUGUUCUACUUUUUCAAAUAUUAUAUUUUUACAUAACUCAUAAUUAUUUUUUUUAAAUCUAGGUUUUGCAACCAAGUUCAACACGUUUUCCAACAACAUUAAGUUCCCAGUGAUGUUUCCAUACUAUUUAAGUUUUCAUAGUCCACAAUAAGCAUCUAAAACAUAAUUUAGUUCAAAUGGAAAUUUAACUUUAUUACAAAACAAAAUUCAAUUGAGAACAUUAACGUUUAGGUUUAUUCUAGGUGAAAGGCCUAGCCAUGCCCAUUGACAGCUAGGGUCAGGGGCCGAUUAGGCUCAAAAAGUAGUCUCAAGCCCAAUCAGAAACUGUAUGGGCCGAGCCUGAACUCAAGAUAAAUGCCUAUGAUCCAUUGGGCAAGCCUAAAUGAGUCCACAAUUGCCUUAACAACAAAAAUAUUGUCAUGACUGUUAGUGAUUGCCAGUCAUGGCUAAAUUUUAACUACCAUGGGCAACUACUGUUCAGAAAAGGCACUGUUAUCUUCAAUCUUAAUAUAAAUUAAGCAUAUGAUGACAUUAAAAAGGUCAUUUUAUCCUGAGCAUCAUACUGCAACUUUCUUUUCCAUUUCUCUCUUCGAAUCACUAACUUGACCAUUGGAGAAGGUGUUCUAUAACCAUCCCGAACAUUUUUUGUUUGCAUGUUGUUGGAUUCAGGCUGCUCACUCCAUUGAGGUUAAUCUACAUGAAAGUUGUUGAUGUUAGCUGAUUGUGGAAAUUGACAGCUUGACUGAUUGUGAUUGACUAAAAUAUAAAACUUAUACAAGCUGUAAAUUAAGGUUAUAAAUCAGUGAUAAAAUUAGGAUUAUAAAUUAAGGAUUCCUAGCUUGUUUGUAUAGUUGACUAAUAGUGACUACAUUCAAUGUAUUCUUGGAUUAUUUUCCUUUAUUGUUUUACCUGUAACCUUAUAUAUAUUAAUUGUAAAUUCCUCCAUUAAUACAAGAAUGCAAUUCCAUGAUUGUUUACAUGGUAUCCAGCAAAGUACUAUUAAAAUUGCUUCUCGUUUCUUUGGCCUAUAUUGGUGAAGCCAAGUGCAUUCUUCUUUGCUACAGCUUUAACAUUUCGUGGCCUUCAUUGCUGAAAUCGACAUAGAGAAAUACAAUCUUCAUUGUUGGUUCUCCCACAUUCUCUCUGCUUUUAUUCUCUUUCUCAAUAUGUCUGAAAUAUCUAGUAAUGUCCAAAUCUCUUCCUCCAUAAAAAAUUUCGAUCAAGUUGUAAUCCACUCUUCCUCUAGUGAAUACCAAAAUCUCCAAGCGUCAUUUAGGCUUAAUAGCCGGAGUUAUCUGGUUUGGUCUCCACAUGUGAAGGCAUCCCUUGAACGAAAGGGGAACCAAACAAUUUAGUUAGAUCGGUACCAAGCUCAAAAGACCCACAGUUUGUACCGACAAAACCCACCCCAUUGCCAUCCCUCUCUAUGGUGAUCUAUUGAUUUAUCAUCUAUUGUUAGAUAUAAAGAGUAGAUCAUUAAUUUUGCAAACUUAUCUAUUAAUCUAUUUAUUGAACAUAAGAAUAAGGAUGCAACAUAAAAUGGUUCCUUGUGGUGCAGGAAUAAAUAAUCCCAAAAUGUUGAAAGUGUUGCCAAAAUUCAAGAGUAAGGUUUCUUUUUUAUCACCUUAUUUUCCCUAUUGUCAAGUUCGUUUAGAAGCAACGGAAAUCAUUUGUCCCAUAUUGAUUCACAAACAAAUGCUUUGAGAUUAUUUGUUAAGGAUCAAUGAUGAAUUUUUAUACGAUGUAAGUAGUAUCAUGCAAACACUACACUGAAAUAAGAACAACAAAAAUUUAAGGUGACCUACUUAAGAACAAUUUAACCUUUUUGAGGGUUUUCUUUUUUUUCUUUUCUUGCAAACAAGAAGUACAACUGAAAUUUCCUUUCUUGCAAACAAGAAGCAUACAACUGAAAUCCCAAUAUAUAACUAAAACACCAUAGGGUAAGGAUGGGCAUUGUUCUCUUGAACAAAAAGCACAAGCAAUCCUCCAAGAAAGAAAAUCCUCUAGGAUCAUAGUAAAUAAAUCUGUGUUAACAAUGCUUCCUAGACGUUUAUUGGAAAAUAAACAUCCACAAGUACCAAAUACAACUGAAAUCCCAAUAUACAACUAAAACACCAUCGAACAAGGACUACUAUAACACCAAAAAAUAAAAUAAAUAAAAUAACGGAAGAAAGCUCAUGGAGGUAAAAACUCCUAAAAAAACACCUUGAAAAGAGAAGCACUACACUUUGCUGACCAGUCUGUUGGUUGGCCAAGUGAAGGAUCCACCAAACUAGAUUUGGAGAUGGAAAAUUUUAGGUAAUUAGUCAUCUCACUUUUGAGGGUCUCAUAAGACACCAAGAAGAUAACUAAACCAAGUCACCUCCCACUAGGAAGUGAUUAAAACCUAUAGGAAAAGCUAAGGUGAAAUCUUUAAGUAAUGCCAACUCCAUAGCCAAUCUCUCCUCAAUGGGCUUAGAAAAAGAUUUACCCACCUCUCCUUAAUGAUCCUGGAAGACUCUGCCAAUACCCAUUUACCUUGGGUUUCCCAAAAUGACUCUAAGGGUUCUUUUAUUUGCCUUUUACAUCACUUUUCAAUCUAACAACAAGUUCAAUCAAGACCAAGGGAAGGCAAUAGAAAUUUGAGGCAACUAACUUGGGGAUAAGUCAAUCAAUUUCUUUUCUCACUUUUUCAAUGUGCAACACUAACCAAGAGAAAGGUGAUGUCACUAGAAAUUUGAAGUUACCAACUUGGAAAUAAAUUAACCAACAGAGGUGUGGCUGAUAGGAAUUUGAGGCAAUCAAUUUGCAUAUUCUUAUGAAGUUUUAUUUCUUUUGCUCUUACACUACUCUAUUUCUUUCCUAUUUCUUUGCCACGUCAAAAUAUAUGAAUUUCAUCUCCUCUUAGACCAAUCUUAAAAAGAGUAUAGGAACCUUUACUUAUUAAUUGACUCCUUUCCAUUGUAUACCUUCUGCCACGUCUAAAUACCCUCUUCUCUUACAAAAAAGGUCAACUGAGACCAUGGCAAGGCUACAAGAAACUUAAAGGAGACUAAGUUGGAAACAUUUUUUGUUCCUUCAAAAUAUUUGUCACUUCCCUCUUUUGUUACCUCUAAUGUCCUCUUCUGUGAAAUUGAUCCAGAAUCAAGUUAACCAAAGCCGAGCAAGGCUUAUAGAAACUUGAGGAUUUGAAUCCAGGAAUGAGUUGAUCAAGACUGAGGCUAAGCUAAUAGAAAUUUUGUGGUUACUGAGGCCAGAAAAUUCCUAAGAACGAACAUUUCUUAUUCCUAUGCUGCAUCAGAACGCCUCUACUUCACUCUAUUCCUUUGCUGCUUAUUUCCUUUUCCACUAUGACUCAGAAUAUAGAAUAUCCCCCUCUUCUUUCAAUUUCUUUUCAUCCUUUUCUUUUCUCUGUUUUUUGCGGCUUCCCUCCUCUUCUGCUACUUCAGAAUAUUCUUUUAUCCAUUCUGUUUGGUUGCUGCAUUUCUUUUUAGCUACAUAGGGAAUAUCUUCUUCGUCUUCUCUGCUCAAUUUCUUUGUUGCUUAUUUUUUCUCUUCGGCGACUCCUUAUACACAGCCACAAAAUUAUACCAAGAAAAUCACCAAAAAUGCAACAGAAUACAGAGCAUCCUCUUCCUCUGCUAAGAAUAAAAAAAUAAAAAAUCUUCCCCUUGUCUAUUUGGCGAAAUCCUUCCUCUCUGCUACUCUCCAUCUAUAAACAGCCAUAUAAUUGUACUAUCAGAAACACAUACAAUAAGAAAAUAACUUCUUCCUCUUCUUGGUUCAUUUCUUUGCUGCUUCCCUACUGUUCUUCACCAACAUUCAUUCAGAGCUAUUCUUUGGGUUGUUGUAUUGAGUGUACAUCUAAUACAGUUGGUUGUAUUAUAUCCUGGAAACAGGACAUUGUUAACGCAUGACACCAAGCCAUUGUCUCAGAGAAACAGAGUUCAGACACAUCAACUGAUAAGUCCACCUCAAUUCCAUUAUUUAAUUACUGAAGUUCAUAUUCUUUGUAGCAUCUGAGCUCUAAGUUUAUACUCCGGUCACAUGAGCUACAGAAAAAAGAAAAUAAGAAAAUAGACAGAGCACAGAACACCAUCUGUUCCCUCCUCUCUGCUAAAUUUCUUUGCUACUUAUGGUUCACCAACAUCACUAUAGCUGCUCUUCAGACCCAGAGUCAUUUCUGUAUUCUGGGAAUUGUACUGGGCCCUAUCACCUGUUAUUCUUGACCAUAUCUUAAAGAAACAGAUCACACAGCUCAAUUGAUUAGUCCAUUUAAUUUUCAUAGUUCGCUUCGGCUUAUUUUCGUGAUAUCCAAGUUAUUAGUUCUUCACUACACUAAAAAGAUACCCAAUAUGCCAUUAAUUGCAAUCAACAAACAUGCUAAGAAAAAGCAAGCUGACAAACUCAAAACAGAAAAGGAAACAAACGUAGCAAAACAAAACACCCAGUAAUUAAACCUCCAAUAAACCCAUAAAUCCCAUAAGUAGUCCACCAAAAGUCCACAUGUACUAAAUUAAAACCUCCAUUAAACCCAUAUAUCCAGUACACAGUCCAUAAGUAUUUAGUGCAUUAAAUUAGCAAAUAACAACAAGGAAGAAGAGAUCCAUCUGGAUUACCCGCACUUAUCGCAGAGAAUGGCGAAAUCACCAGAUCGCAAAGCCCAACCUUUUCUCCACUCGAUCGUCGACCCCGACGACGCCCCGGGGCACGACACGUUCGCGCAAGUUUUCGAUGCCAUUCAUAAACUCAAUAACGCCUGCAAAACUCACAAAAACAAAAUCCAAUCAAACAAACAAAAACCCUAACUCACCAACCCGGCUCCCCGAAUUCAAUCAACACCACAACCGAACGACAAAAUUGAUCAACCCAGACAAAACAACACGAACACGAAAAACCGUAGAAGCGAAGCUAACCCCACAGCUAUAUCCCGAACCACUCCCUCCGUCUGUAAAUCAGAGCACGAACACGCCACUACAAACUUUCACUCCAUCUUCCGAGUCCUCGAACUCCCGAGAUUUGAUCGAAGAAUGGCGGCGGGGCAGAAAUCCUCGGAUCAGCAAGGCGUCGAACACCGCCGGCCACCGGCGAGUCCAAUCGGCGAUCGAGUUUUGGGAAGAAGCGUGUGCAUGCAAAGCCUCAGAGAGAAAUAUAAAUAUAUGGAGAAAUGGAGAGAGAAAGAGCGAUGUAGAGAGAGAAAGUGAAAGAUGCAAAAAUGCAUGCACGACACUUCAAGACUCGGCGAACUCUCCCCACUUACCCCCCACUGUUUAUCUUUUUAUUUUUCAUUUUAAAUUUUAAAACCUCUCCAAAAAAUGGAAAAUUACCCCAAAAAAAUACUCCCCACUCUCACACCUUCUCAUAUCUAAUCACUCGCGCUUUGAUUCGAGGUCUUCUGAGUUUAAUAACGAGAAUGAGUCCAACUGCCAUCCGGGGUGGCGAGUGACGUACUGGCGAGUGCGGAGAGCGUGAGGAAGAUACCCAUUUUUUCAGGUUUUGAAAUAAUUUUCGAAUUAGGGCGUCAGGACACCACCGAAAAAUGCGCCACUAGCCGGUUUUUAAUCCAAUAGCAUAUUUCGCAUGCAAUGGAGUCGGGCGUUGAAUUACGGAAAUACCCCCCGAAAUACGUGGAUUUGACGGCCGAGCCUUCGUGGAUACGGCGGUGUUGGUGUUCCAAUGGUGCAGACUGGAGAGUACGCUUACCCGGGUCCUCCACUUCAACGGUCUCAUGAGUAAACGCGUGACCGCCGUGGGUUUGUUCUUCUUUUAGGAGUCAACGCCAGGGUGCUACAUCCGACGGUGAAUAUGCUCUGUGACGUCAUUCCAUUAGGUGAUUAUGAUGCCCGGUGGGCCCCAGAACCACGGUACCUACCGCUGUGAAAGAGAAAUGCUAACGCACGCGCCGGGGGUGGACCGUUAAGCUCUGCACGAUGUUUUACCAUAAAUAAAAUAAUUAAUUUGUUGAAAAAAAAACUAUAUUAUAAAAAAAAUGUGACUUCAACGAAAUAAUUAGAUUUUGGUGAUUAACAUUUUUCCAUUUUUAUUACUGGGUCAUAAUUACAAAAUUAUAAAAUAUGUAACAUUUAAGGCAUGAUCAAAUAUUGGGUUGUAGCUUUUUCCAAUUUUGAUUAAUGGGUCAUAAUUGCACAUGCAUUCAGUAUGGUGGUAAAUUGCUGGUGUGAAUAUGUAUAUUUAUUAAUCUAACAAUUCAUAUUUAUAAAUAACUGUCAAUCUUAUACCCUAUUUGUAUUAAUCCAUAAUAUUAUCUUUUAAUAUAAUAGAAUUAUUUCACUAAAAUGAAGGGAAUAAAAAAAAUGAAACAUAUUGCAAAUAUUUUUUGAAUGACUCAUUCCCGGGCUUAAGAGUUGUAUUGUUACACCCCGAUGCUAUCUAUAUUUAUUAAUUAUUAUAUAAAACAUUUGUAUUACUCUCUUCUAUAGCAUAUUAUGAUUCACCUCCAUUUUCAUUAUAUUUUCCAUUUUCAUUAUAUUUUCAAUACUCUUCUCACGUACCAAAUUCAGCUUAUUAUUUAUUUUUUUAACUUAUUUUUCAUACUAUCUAUAUUUAUUAAUUAUUAGAUAAUACAAUUAUAUUAUAUAACAUAUUUAUUAUAAUAACCAUGUUACUAUCAUAUUUAUAGUUUUUAUAUUGGUCCACACCAUGAAUAUAUAUGUUAUACUUAAAAUAGUACACAUCAAAUCAAUAAUUUGUUGAAAAAUAAAUAAAUUAUAAACAUGUAAUAUUUGGGGAAUGAUUAAAUUUUGGUGACUAACAUUUUCCAAUUAUGAUUGUAACGACAUGUACCCAAUUGUGUAGGACUUAAAACGAAUAAUAUCCACUUAGUUUGGAACAAAUCGUUAUAAAUGAUAUUAAAGUCGAUUCUUCAUCUCGUAUAGGGGUUUAUUUGGUCUCAUAGGAAGUGUUUGUUUGUUUGGUUCCUCAAUUUCAUGAGACACAAUUAUGACAUAAUGUCUACAUUAAGGAUGUUUAUGAUAUCCUAUAUCAAAUAGAUAAGAAAGUUUUUAGUGUUAUAUAAGCAUGAACCUAUUUUAACCAUAUAUAUGCGUUUUAAAUUUAUAAGAGCCAAUUUGGACUUAGAGCAAACAAUAUUUAUACAAUUGAGAUCAAAUUAUUACAAAUUGUAUAAAGUUGACCGAUUUCAAUGUGAGGGUUUGUUUGACCCCAUAUGGGUAUUUGUCUCUUUGACCUUGAUACAACGGCGACGUUGUGUCUAUAUAAAAAGCCAUUUGUGAUAUUCCACAUCGGAUAUGAAAAAUAUUAAUAUGAAUCAUUCUUAACAUUGUAGACAUGUUUUAAGGUUACGAGGAUUUAAAGGGUCACGAAGUAGACAAUAUCUACGUAAAUAAAAGUAGGUUGGAUUGUUACAAUAAGUAUCAUAAAUACAUAUUUAUAUUUAUUUAUCUAACUAUUCAUGAAUAUUGAUAUAUUUUUGUAUCUUUUUUUUAUUAUUAUUAUUCUUUUAAAAAUGUUAUUUUUCCAUAAAUUAAUGCAUAAAAAUCCACAUGGGAUAUAAGAGUGUAAUCAUCAUCAAUUACCAUAUAUAAAACUAAUAUAUGUGUAAUAAUGAUGACUUCAUUAUUAUUUCACUAAUUUGCUUUCUUUAAGAAAAUCUUUUACAUUGGUUCAAAAAUAAAUCGAUACACAAAUUAUUUAUUAUUAUUUUUUUUAAAAAUAACACCUAUGACAAAAAUUAUUAUGAUCACGUUAUUGCCAAAUAACACGUAUGAUAUAAUAAUUGUAUUAAAAUUACACUCAAAGGGUUCAUAAUGGUUGGUAGGCUAUUUUAUGCUAGUAGUCCUAUUUUCCCACUCCACUCAUCAAUCAUCUAUCCUCCACUCAAUUCGUUUUCUCAUACUAUUCCCUGCUAUUCCUCUUUCCUAUCUUACCCCUCUUCACAAACAAUUUCGUCUUCUACUUUCUUCACACCUUCACUUAAACCCUAAUUACCUAGUCAUUCAUAUUGCUAAAAGAAAAUGUUAGUGUAUGUAAAGAAAUAUAGAACAUUACCUCCAUGAAUUUCACUGAUAUGGGCUCUGCCAAAUUUACCUACUUUUCAAUCAUUUUCUACUCUCAAAUUAAGCCCUAAUUUCAGUAGAAAACCCCAAUUCUUUACUCAUUUGAAAUACCACAUAACCAAGGGGGAAACUUAUCUUUAUCUUUCAUUCUUCUGUCUUCUCCCGAAGGCCCAGAAAGUACGAGAAAAUAAAGAGCAAGCGUGGAAAAUUUUCUCAACACAGCAGCAGAGUAGAGAAAGUUGCUCCAGGUUGUUUUCCACACAAAAUCAAUGGCAGCCUUCAACAUCUCUUCAGCUACAAUCUACCGUACAUCGUCUUCAUCUUCAUCUUCAUCAUCUUUGUCUUUGUCAUCAAAGCUGUCGGUUCUCCCAAUGCGGUGUGCUCCUCCAAGGCCUUACCGUUCUAGAUUCUCAAGUAAGGCUUUUGCUUUUUUCAAGAGAUUUUUUUUUCUUUCGGUUUUUACUGUUUUGGUUAAUUUAUGGAACAAUUUGCAGAGAUACUUGCGUUUACGAGCAAUGAUAUCAAGGUGGGUUCCAGCAUUGAGGUAGAUGGAGCUCCAUGGAAAGUUUUAGGUACUGUUCUUUGAUUUUCUCUCUGUUGCUUUUUAAUGAAAUAGUUGGGUUUUGGAGGUAAUUUGUGUGUUAUUCCAAUGCUCAUGAGGAAGAAACACGAGACACUGAAUGCUGUAAUUGAUUCAGUUUCUAACAACCACAUUGUGGGAAUUUGUAUGUGUUGUUGUAUUGAAGUUGCUGCAAUCUGAGAUAACGUAUUGGCUAAAUGGUGGCAUCUCAGUGAAAAGUUUAUUACUUUUCAAGAAAUUAUCGGGUUUUAAAUUCCCAAAAAAACAUCAAACACUGAUGUUGAAUAUCUCUUCUUCUUCUUUUUUUCCCUAGGUAAUGUGACCUAAUGGAUGUGUUGCAAUUUGCACUAUUAGAUUCUGAGUCCUGUAUGCACUGAGACCCUGUGAAAGGAAUUUGGUAGGAAAUCAUGAAUGUGCAUAUUCUUUUUGCAUGCUUGUCCGGGACUAUAUCUAUUGUGAUUAUUUAUUAAUUGUGUCACUUCCCUAUAUGCAGAGUUUCUUCAUGUGAAGCCUGGGAAAGGGGCAGCAUUUGUAAGGACCAAAAUGCGCAAUUAUGUAACGGGAAACACUGUUGACAAAACUUUUCGAGCUGGUUGUUCGGUAAUAUUUUUUUUUUUUUUUUACUAAAACUGGUUUAUUCAUUAUCUUGGUGCUAAUAUGUUGUAGGUUUUAUUUAGUUUGCAAUGAACAUGAUCUUAAAGACUGUCCUUUGGCAAUCGUAAUGUAGUUGUUGCAACAUUAGGUUUCUCUUUUUCAAUGCACCAGAAAAGACUUGAAAGAUGGAAGUGCUUUUCCUGUUUCCAUUGGAAACCUAUUAAGUCAUUAUAGUUUAGGAUUCUGUCAUAGAUUUUGCAUUUUCUUCUCCAAGUUAUUAUAAUUUGGGAUUCUAUUUUAAAUUUCCCAUUUUCUUCUCUGAGAUUUUUUUUCUUAAUUAACAUUAUAAUACUAUCUUGGCAAGGUUUAAUUUGGAUUCAUGGUGAUGUAGCUCCAAAGUGAAUGAACUAUGCAAUCUCUCAUAAUGUGAUUGUGGGUUUGACUACGUAAUUUCUCUCUAAUUUCAUUAGUUAUUCUUCCACCUCUUUCCUGAUUUUCUAUUGGCCUGUGGAUUAAGAAACUAAAUAGUUUGGGUUCUUAAUUUGAGCAACCUAAAGUUGUGUGGCUCUCCCUACAAUAGUUUAUCCAUGUUGGAUAUCGUACUUGUGCCAGGGUCUUUGUUAGAACAAUGUAAAUGUAAAGUAUUUAUAAAUUGCAUUUCAAACCCUUAGUCACAAAGCCAUAGGGCAGGAUUUAUGAUUGCUGAGGUGGGAACUGUUCUUGAGGACAACAUUGUAAUGGCUGGCACAAAAUGGUUGAAUUGCAUCAUGAAAUAAAGCUUCUACUCAUUUGUCAGCGGCACAACUAGGCAUGUUUAAUGCCUGCGCAGCCCUUGUGCGCCUUUGUUGGCCAUUCAAAGCCCAUAAGUCAAGCAUGAUUGGCUUAGGUUCCAUGAAACUUAGUUUUUUGUUUGAGUCUAUGGACCAUAAAAACAAUUUUUUUAAGGUUCUUGAAAGUUUAAUGCUGGAAACUCCAAUUCCUCUUAUGCUUGCAGCCCAAAAAUUUAGAUACUUUUCUCCAUUUUUUCCAAUGUUAAGAAUAAGAAUAUAAAAUUAAAGAGUGCCUAACAAGAAAACCAAUGUACAAAGGACACAUAUGAAGAGCAUUGAAGACAACAAGAACUAUAAACAACACCUUAACCCCUCCCGUAUAAACAAGUGAAGAAUCAAGAAUUGAAUAAAGUUACAAUCCAAAAAAAUAUUUGACCACAAGAAGAUAUUUUCAAAUGGGUCACUCAAUGGCAUUUUCAAGCUCUCUAUGCCCUCAAAAUAUCUUUUAUUUCACUCCCUUCAAAUGGAUCAAAGAGGAAAAAGGGAACUAAUCUCAUGCUAAUAUGAUUGACCAACUCCUUAUCCUGCUUGCUGAGGACUUUAAAGGCCAUUCCUGUUUCAUCAACUAAAAAUGUAGGUACUAUGUUGAUACAAGUCCUAAGUUGCUUCAAAACAAUGAAAAAUGCUGUUCAAUUUCAUCUUUGGGAUGCACUUUCUUAUAAAUAAGCCAGAAGAAUCUACCUUAUUCAUCUCAUGUUAGCAAAAUUUUCAACUAUUACAUACCUUAACGUAUCCUAGUAUUAUAGUCAUAAUGAUAUCAGGUCUCAUGCAACAAUUUAGGCACAUGUCUUUUCCUAAUUACAUUUUUCAAAGCCUUAAAUAAUUCUCAUGCUAUUAGAUGCCUUACUAACUUCUUAUAUUCCUUCUAUUAUCUUCUUGCAUCUCUAGAUAGAUGAGGCCAAUGUGUACAAGGAGACCAAGCAAUACACAUAUAAAGAUGGUGCACAGUUUGUCUUCAUGGACCUGGUAUUGCUCAUUUUCCUUUUCAUAUAAUUUAUUACUCACUUCAAACCUAUCAGCUUAACUAAACCUUGUGCCAGCUGCUUCAGUUAUUCUGAUUCAUUUUUCACUUAUCAAUAUGUGAAAAAUAUUUCUUCUUAUCAAUAUGUGAAAAAUAUUUCUUCUCAUAUGAUUGCAAGAUGCUGGCUCUUAUUACUGCUUUCCACAGAGUACAUUUGAAGAAAUUCGACUUAAUGAGUCUGAUGUUGGAGAGAGGACAAAGUGGCUGAAAGAGGGCAUGGACUGCAAUGUGCUAUUUUGGAAUGGAAAGGUACCAAAGAUUUUGAAUAUUUAAGUAUUUAAACUUUUCUCAUGAUCUUUUCAUUCAAGUUUUCUGUCACGUGUAAAGAGAGAAUAUGUGUUGAAUGUGUUUAGGAGAUUGUGUUUUAUGGCGAUUUAAUGCACAAGAGUGUGAGUUUGCAUGGAUAACUAAGUUCUUGGAAUAGCACUCUUCAAAUGGCUUACAAUAAUGAAUCAUAAUCUGAUGAACAUUAAGCAUCACAGAUUCAAGGAUGUACAUGGAAUUCACAUGUUACAUGCAUUAGCAAACUUGUGCAUGGUUACCAUUCAUUUUAUGAGAGGCGAAACAGCUGAUUGAUUUUUUCCCCUGGUAAUCAAAUUAACUAUUUAUAUGGUUGCAGAUUAUUGAUUUUGAACUCCCCAUUACAAUCAAGCUGACUGUUGUUGAUGUUGAUCCUGGCAUUAAAGGUGACACUGCACAAGGUAAUGCGAUUUGGUUUCUAUUGAAGUCAUGACACAAUGGCCUACUGAGUUUACAUGCCCAUCAAUCCAUGCCUUGGGGAUUACCAGUGGAUGGAUUUGGUCUUUAAUCCAUGUCCUGGGGAUUACCAGUGGAUGGAUUUGGUCCCACGCAAGAAUCUGAUCUUGGAAAUGAUAAAACAUAUGAUCAUUCUACCAUUGCUCUGAUCUGCCACAAACAGAUCAGAUGUCCUAAUCGGGUUAUGCAGGGCCUAAUUCAUCUGCUGUAUGACCAUAGUCUUGGAUUGGAAUGGUUUUAAUUAGGUUUGAAAAGUGCUUCACCUAUCAAUCAAAAUAUCGACAACUUUGUUUUCUUCAUCCAAGUAGCAGCAACUUAAUAUUUGGGCAGCGAUGUGACAAUCAUAGAAAUCAGUUUUUUUGAAGUAAUAAUAUGCCGUCAUUGGUUCACCCAUUGUGUGUUUGGCAAUGUUUCUUCAAUUUUCUUUUUUGCUUUUUUUUUUUCCAAUUCUUGACAUUCCUAAUCGCAGCUCACCUCUUUUUACUCUGGGAAUGCUCAGUUUUCCCCCCGCAAUACUGGUUUAGUAGCCCAAAGUGUCUGUAUGUGGUUGGUGAUUGUAAGAAUUUGUGGGGAGGGAAACAGUUUGUUAGACAGCUUUUGCUUCUAAUUUGGCAAACAAUAUUUUCUGGCAGGUGGAUCGAAGCCAGCAACUCUCGAUACAGGUGCUGUUGUCAAUGUCCCUCUGUUUGUAAAUAUAGGCGAUCAAAUAUUGGUGGAUACAAGAACUGGGGAGUACAGGAGUCGCGCAUAGCCAUAGAGAUCCCUUAUCUCUCGUCAUCUCCACAAGAUUCUACCCUUAUAUGUUUUUGUUAACUACCAAUGCACUGUACCCAUUGAAUGCAAGGAAAAUAAAUCAGAGAGGCUAGAUAGUAAAACAGUUGUAAUCUUAAUUUUUCUACUUUACAUUGUCGAUUGACAUGAUGAACUCUUUUUUUAUGUCAGAAGGGAAAUUCACAUUCAUUUCAUAAGACAUUUCUGUUUAGAGAAGGUUAUGAACAUGCUCGCUCAUUCGUCCUAAGCAUUAGAACUCAGCAAAAGUUUCCGGAAACGCUAGUGUGAAUUUUUGACACUAUCAAAUUCAUUGAAGGCAUGAGCAUUUUUGAAACCACAUGCAGCUGAAAGAAGUAUACAAUACAAAUAGGAAUGUACAAACCAUUGAUCUGUCAAGUCUACCAUUUGGUAUGAAUGCUCACAAGCAACAGUAGAACCUACAACUAACCAACAAUUGCAUUCUUGCGGCUUGAAGACUUGCCUGGCCUCUUGUGAGGGAUCACACCUCUCUUCAGAGCUGCACCAUAUACAGUACAAGCACUCAACCAUCUCCCCUGUUGAUUGAACUCAUCAAUCAAAAGGUUAUAACAAAUCCUACUGGGAAUUCUCCUCCCUUCGCACAUGAGAACCAAGAUCGACAGUGCCUCAUCAACCCUUCCCUCACUGCAAAGUGCGCGAAUGACACUGUUGAAGGUGAUCAUCCUGGGAGGAAAAUAUCCAAACCCUACCAUCUCAUUUAAAUACAUCAAAGCCUUGUCUACCUCCUUGGCAACACAAAGGGUUUGGAUCACUAGGCCAUAUGUAUUGGGGUAAAUGGCACAGCCCGCGUUAAUCAUUUUCUCAAACACUUCAUGGGCAUUUUUCAACAGCCCUUCUUCUUUCCAUGAUCUCCUGCACAAUCCCCUCAACAUGGUGUUCAUCAUCCUCUCUUCCACUUUGAAACCGGCCUCCACCAUCUCCCUGUAAAUUCGCAGCGCAGAAUGAAUUUUGCCCCACUUCAAUAGUCCAUUCAACAAAGUGCUAUAACUGAUAUAAUCAGGCAUGCAGUUUCUUUCUUUCAUGUUCUUCAAUAGAUGAAUCCCCUCUAAUGGCCUUCCUUCCUUGCAAUACCCAUUGAACAGGGUAUUGAAAGUGACCACAUUUGGGGUCAUUCCCAUUUCCAGAGCUUCAACAAGCAACUCCAUUGCCUCAUCCGACCUACCCACUUUGCAAAACCCAUCCAUAACAGCUGUAUAUGAAUAUAGGUCUGGUUUUACUGAAGAUUUCUUGAUUUUCAUCAAGAAUUCAUACGCAUCCUCCACCCUCCCCACAUAGCACAACCCCUUUAACAGGCAGUUAUAUGUCUGAACAUUACCUUUGCAUCCAAUUCGACCCAUGAACUCCAAAAUCUCCACAGCUUUCUGCAAUUUACCCCUUCUGCAGAAUGAAUUGAUCAGAAUAGUGAAUGUUACUACACUUGGUUGAAACCCAAUUUCCACCAUGUGCUCAAGAACUCGUUUUGCUUCACUCGGGUCAUUUUUCUUGCAGUGGCACUUGAUAAUAAUGGAAAAAGUCCAAGAAUCUGGCACCAUCCCAUAGGAUGAUAUAUCACAGUAGAGUUUCAGCGCAAGGUCAGGCUCAUCUGCUAUGAAUAAAGCCAGGAGCACAUCAUUGAAGACAGAAAGGUUCUGAAAUGCCCGUUCUCUCUCAAACACAUGGAUAAUUUGGAUUCUUUCAGAAGUGGGUAAGGCUCUAAUCCUAUCAACAAAGUUAUGGACUUGUAAUCUAGUAUUUCUCCUAUCAAAGUCCAUGCUAUGUGGUUCUUCCUUGAUGGGUCUGUCAAUGGAGACUCCAUUUGGACAAAUCCUAUCAGUUGCAUUGGCGAUACUGAGAGUGCUUUCUGAUGAAUUCCUAACAGAGAAUGAGAGAGUGGUGGCAUGGAGAAGCAACUUACCUUGUUGGGUUUUGUUGUGGUUGUUUCUGAAGAAGCAAGGGCUACUAAAAAUCAAAGAAUGAAUGGGUGAAGGAUGUGGAGAAAACAAUAGUUGAGAAGGCAUGUAUGCGGGAUUCGUGAAUUGGGGAAGAAGGCUAUUGCAAAUCAUGAUGUACACUGCUCACCAAAGAGGGUAGUGGGAGGGGCAUUUUGAGGCAAAUGAGCUGUUUGAAACUACAAUUCAUCCCUGGAGAUAUUCUCUACGCCUUCACAAGGUUGAAGCAACACCAUUAAUUCAGGUCAAAAACAAGUGUUAAAUACCCCUCGAAAAUCUGUCGACACCCACAUAUUAAUUUAUUCUUUAAAAAAUAGAACUUAAAUAUGGAAGGGCAAAAUGACCUUCUCUUCAUCCUUCUUCCUAUCAAAUUUGAUAAAUUGAUGAUGAAAGCUAUAUUUUGUAUUAUUUCUUUUUGAACUUUAUACAAAAAUGUAAAUGAAUUGUAUAAGGAAAGAAAUGAAUAAUAUUCCUAAGAUAUUGGAAAGUAUCCUAAAAUGAAGAGAAUCAAAUAUUAUUAAUAUUUUAAUUUUGUGAGAAUUAAAUAUUUCUAUAUUUUGUGAGAAUCAAAUAUUAUUAAUACUUGAUUUUCUCUAGAUUUAUGGAAAUAUUGAUGGAAGUGUCUUCUUACCCUUUAUGUGCUUGAUUAUGUGUAUUUCCUCAAGUUAGAGUGAGAACAAACAUGGACGUCUAAUUUGUUCAAAGAUUUGGUAAAAAUAUCAGCAAGUUGAGAAUGUGUAAAAACAUAGUGAGUAACAAGAGUGCGCAUAGUUACCUUAUCUCAUACAAAAUGAUAAUCAAACUCAAUAUGUUUAGACCAAACAUGAAACAUGGGAUUAACAAACAUGUAAAGAGCACUAACAUUAUUACAAAAUAAUUGUGGUGAUUUAGAGAGGGACACACUAAUAACUCGUAAAAAAUAAGUAAUCUAAAUUAACUAUGCUAUGGAGAAAGCCAAAGAGCGAUGCUCAACCUCAAUGCUUGAGCAAGCAACAACUAGUUGUUUCUUUGAACACCAAGAGAUACAAUUUGCUCCAAGAAAAACACAAUAACCCAUGGUGCUCCGUCUUGCAGCAGGACAACCUGCUCAAUUAGCAUCACUAAACCAAUAAAAGAGAUAUUGGAUUGGUGGAUAGGUAACGUAAACCAAAGUAUUGGGUUCCUUUAAGAUAUCUUAAGAUACCCUUUAUAGUUGUCAAGUAAGCCAUAAUGGGGUUACUAAAAUAUUGACAUACCUGAUUAAUUGUCAUAUGAAAGUUAAGUAUUAAACGGGUUCAACAAUAAUUUAGAAAGUAGUAACAUCAUUUAAUACAUUGUUUGAAAGAGAAGACUCGUUAGUAAGAACCUGAGGUGGGGCAACAUGAUUACUAUUAAACAUCUUAGUUCUUGAAAGUAGGUCACGUAUAUACUUUUGUUGAGAAAGAAAAACUCCUUCAUCAAAAUAUUUAAUCUCUACAAUAAGAAAGUAACGUAGAAGGCCAAGAUUUUUAUUUGCAAAUUCAUGGCUGAGUUGUGCAAGGAGACUUGUAAUAAGAAGACUUGUAAUAAAUUGGUUAUUGUUACAUACAAGAAGAACAUCAUCCACAAAAAUGAGGAGAAUUGUAGUUAUGUCAUGAGUGCAAUAAAUAAACAAUGACGAGUUCACUUUAUUGCAAUAGAAACCAAAUCGGAGCAAAAAUUGUGAAAAGUGAUUGAACCAAGCACAAGAUGCUUAUUUCAAACCAUAUAAUGAUUUCUUUAAUAAAUACACAUAAUCAGGAAAAAGAAAAUUAAUAAAGCCUGAAGGCUACUCCAUGUAGAUUGUUUCCUUUAGUUGCCCAUGCAAGAAUAAUUUUUUUAUGUCCAAUUGGUGCAUGCUCCAAUUUAAAGAAAGAGAUAGAGCUAUGACAAGACACAUGGUGGUUGGUUUAACCACAAGGUUGAAAGUUUCAUUUAGUCCACUUUUGAUACUUGUAUGAAACAUUUUGCAACCAAGUGAGUCUUAAAACAAUCGAUAAAACCAUUUUCUUUAUACUUAAUAUGAUUUACCCAUUUGGAGCUAACAACAUUGAUUCCAGAUGGUGAGAAACAAACUCCUACAUGUUAUUAUCAUGAAAUGCUUGAAGUUUAUCUUUCAUGACAUCAGUCCAACUUAAAUCCUUGAGAGCGGUCUUUAAGGUCUUUGACUCAAAUGAAAUGAGAUCAUAUACACGAGAAGAGGUUGGUGAUGAAAUGGGAAGAACAAUAUAGUCACUGAGGUAAAAAGGUGGCGUUCUAACUCAAACAAGUUUAGUUUAUGGCACUAACUCAAUUGGAGAGACUCAUGAAAUGUCAUCAUAUUCAAAUUUAGCUUCAGUUGAAGGAGAAGAAUGUGUAAGACCUUCAUCCACAGUUGGAAUCAAAUUCUCUAAAGUUGAAGUAUAUGGAACCAUUGGAAUAAAGGUAGAAUUUGCAAAAAAAAAUUGAGGUAGUUGCACUGUUCAAGCUAAGUUGAUUUUCUUUGUUAUUUCCUACAAUAUUUGGAAUAAAAUCUACAAUAAAAUUAGGGUUACAAAAAUAAAAGGAAUCAUUUGACAAGGUAGUUUCCUUAUUAGUUGAAUCGAACCAUUCAUCCAAAUAAGGGAAGUCAAACAUUUCCAAAUUUGUAAAAUUAGAGACCACAUGUAAGGACUUGUAAAUAAUGGUGCCUUCAUCAAAGACAACAUGUCUAGAAAUACAAACCUACCUUGUUUGAGGCUCCAAGCAUCUAUAAUCCUUAUGAAUCGGGUUAUAUCUGAGAAAGACACAUAGAUAAGUCUUGUUGGUAAAUUUUGAACCAUAUUGAUAAUGUAAUGAUGAAAAACAUUGACAUCCUAGUACUCGUAAGCCAUUGUAAUCAGGAUGCUUUUUGUAGAGCUUAAAGUAAGGGAUAACAUUGUUAAUAGUUGAGGAGGGCAACUUGUUUAUAAGAUACACAGUUGUAAGAAAGACUUCAACCCAAGGAGAUAAUGACAAGGUGGCAUGAAAAAACAUGGUCAAUAAGGUUUCAACAAUAUGUCAAUGUUUUCACUCGACCAUUUCGUUUUGUUCAAAAGGUCCAAUACAUGAACAGGUAGCUCCAUUCCAUUAUUCUAAAGAUGCUUAAGAAAAAUAUUAGAGCUAAAUUUCCUCCACUUUCACAUAUGAAAUGCUUUAAUUCUUUGAUUAAAUUGAUAUUCUACCAAAUUUUGAAACUUAUGAAAACAAACAGAAAAUUCAAAUUUCCAUUUCAAAGAAUAAAACCAUGUGAAUCAUGAAUAAUCAUUGACAAAUAUUGCAUAAAAAUGAAAAUGUUGAUUUAUAGUCACAGGAGCUGAGCCCCAAAGAUCACAAUUAUCAAGAGGAAUUUUAGAAAAUUUAUUUGAAUAAUAGAGAGACAAUUUGCAACUCUACCCCAUUUGACAACUAAUAUAAAUAGAAGGUUUAGUUGCUCAAUGGGUUAUAUCAAUAAAUUUCUAUUCCUUUAAUAAGGAAAGAAUUUUUUAGUUUGGAUGUCUAGGUUGUUGAUGCCAAAUUGAUAAAGAACCAUAUUUCUUUAUUGCACUAAAUGCCUCUUAAUUGUUUCCAUUUAACAUAUAUAGUUGUCUUUUCUUAUGCCUCCUUGUUAUUGUCCUUUAAUUUUAGUCCUUAACAACAAAGUCAGAUGAGGUGAAUUCAAAAGUACGUAAAUUAUUUGCAGUAAAUUUUUUAAUAGAUAACAGAUUUUUCUUUAAAUAAGAAACUUCUAACACGUCUUUUAAAUCCAAUUUUCCUCCAUUAUUCCAAUAUGAGAAAUAUGUAGACUAUUUUCAUUUCCAACAUAAAUAACAACAUUCCCAUCAUAUGAUUUAAUAUGAAAAAUUUUACUUGCAUUGUUGGUCAUCUGUGAGGUAGCACCGGAAUCAACAAUAAAUAACUAAUCAUUUGAGUCAUUCAUGGCAAGAGUAGCAAUAACUUGUGGAAAAUCUUUAGAUUGGUAGGAAUAAUCUAAUCUAUACCAACAAUCAAUAGCAAGAUGAUUUGGUUUUCCACAUAUUUGACAAGUUACUUUACUAUUAUUAUUUGAGCUAGUAGGACGUUGUUGUUGAUGCCUUUUUUUUGGUUGAAUUGUAUUGUUAUUUGACCAUUUAGGAAUGUUGACAUUGCUUUGAGGAUUAUGGUUGCCAUUAUAGUGCUUAAUAGGUGUGAAUCCUCUUCCCUUUGAGUUGAAAUUUCUUUUACCCACUCGGCCAUUUUGAUCACGACCUUGUUGUCCAAAGAAAAAUUGUGCAUGCUUUAAUAAUAUUUUCUCUUCCUCUUUUUGGGUGGUGAGUGAUUGUUUAUGUCCUUGAAGAGCUAGCAUAAACUAGUUAAAGAAAUGAUAAGGUGGUUUAAUAAGCAUAACAAGUAAAAAAAUUUCAUUCCUUGUCCUAAACCAUGAGCUAAUUGAAAAACUUUAUCUUGGUUUGAAAUUGGCUUUUUGACUAUAACAAGAUUGUCACAUAUAUUUUUGAAGUUUCUUAAAUAUUCUUCAAAAAACAAUGACCUCUUGUUGAGAGUCAUCAACAUAUUUUUCAAAUUCUUUUCUUUUUUUACUAUAAUACAAAACAAUUGCUCUUCAAAAGACGUCCAAACUUCAUAUGUUAUUUCAACACCAAAGAUCAUGCUCAAAACAUCUUCUUUCAUAAUUCCAAGAAGCCAUGAAAUAAGAAGUCUAUCGUUAUUGAUCCAUAGUUGGUAUUGUGGGUUAGGACUUUUGAUUUUUUCAUCAUCUUUAAUUUUUUCAGUAUGUUUUUCUCCAUUUAAUAGAUGAUGGAGAACAUCGAGGCUACGAACAAAGGCAGUGAUUUGACUUUGCCACCGUAAGAAAUUUGUGGUGUUUAACUUCAUAGAGAUGAAACUAGAACAUUGGUGAAAUGACUAAGUAUUGAGUCCAAGUUCUAUGUUUAGGAAAGAGGAAAAGAAUGAAGAAGAAGAUAUAUAUAUUCCAAGCUUGAUUUUCAUAAUACCAAUUCUUGGGUUUGUUAUGAUACUUGGGUAUUACAUUUUUGGGCUUUGUUUUCCGCAUGCUUAUUUAGGCCUAAUUAAGUUUGUUCAACAUUGGAUUGGGCCUAUUUACUAAUUAUAUUGGGGCUGUAUUUCCUUACUAAUCCAUUUUUUUUAUUAAAUAAAAAGUUCAAAAUCAAUUUUUUUUCUAAAAAAAUAUUUUAAUGAAAUAACAAUUUAGAAAAUAUUCCUUUUAAUAAAAGUCUGGACAGUUCUCUUAAUAAAAAGUUCAGAAAAAAAUGUUUUUAGACGAAUUUUAAAAACUAUUUUUAAUAAAAACUUGGAAAUUUAUUUGUUUAAUAAAAUUGUCAAGACAGUUAAUUUUUAAAUAACAUUAUUCAAAAGGUUAAUUUUUAAUAAAACAGUUCAAAUUUUUUAUUUUUAAAUAAAACUCCAUAAUUUUUAUAAAUUAAAAUUAUAGAAUCAUUUUCUUAAUAAAAUUGGAUUGAAAAUAUUUUUGUAUAUGAAAAAAAUCAAUUCAUUUGUAAAUAAAAUCAAAUUGGAACAUUCUUUGUUAUUAAAUUUGUAAUUUUUUUUUUUAAUAAUUGGUGUAAAUCUUGUUUCUAAAUGAAAUCCAAAAUCUUUUAAAUAAGAAUAUAAUUUAACGAAUUUUAAUGUGAAAAAAAAAAUUCUUAAUAAAAUUGGGAUCUUGGAAACAAAUUUGUGAAAUUUCUUUCCCUAAAUAAAUAAAUUGAUAAUAAAAAAUAUAUUUUAAAAAAAUUAAAUCCAAAAAUAAUCUUUUUAAUAAAAUUGGGCUGAAAGUCCAUUUUAUAAACUUAUAUAUAUCUUUCUUUAAGUAAGUAGAAAAUCAUUUUUUAAAAAACAAAAUAUGAAUCAAAACACUUUUGAAAAUAAAUUUAUAAAAAUACAUUCUAGAAAAGCAAACAGAAUCAUUUUUUUAUAAAUAAAAUCAAAUUGAACCUUUUUUUUUUUUUGUGAAAUUGUAUUCAAUAAAUUCUUUUUAUAAAAGAUAAGAGAAAUUCUUUCAAAAUAAAUUUGAAUGUGAAUAAUAGUUAAGUCUUUUGCAAAUAAAUAAAUUAAAAUCAUUGAAAUUGUUUUUAAUGUAAAUAUAUUCUUUCAAAAUUCUUUUAAAUUAUGUUGUGAUUUUUUGAACAAUAAAACUUUUUUUUUUCUAAUUAAUUUAAUAAAUCAAUUUAUAUAAUUCUCCAAAUUAGUUUUGUCGUAUAUUUACAUCUUACUUUUCUUGAUAUUUGUAUUUAAUUAAUCAAUUGUCACAAUUCCCUCAAUUUGUUUAAUAAAAAUAAUAUGUAUAGAAGAUUAAAGAGUUGUUACGGUUUAUCAUUGCAUCUUCCAGAUGGUAACCUGACUUCCAAUUUUAUUUAUUUUUAUUUCACAAACUUAUCUUUUCCAAAUAAAGUCAUAUAGAAUUUUAUUUCUUAUUUUGUUUCCCUUAUAAAAAUAUACUAAAAUAAGUAAUAACUCCGAGUUUUUUAAAAAUGUAAUUUUUAACAAAUAAAAACAAAUCUCUUCAUAUAAUGAAUUUAAUGAUAUAUUAUGACAUGAUGGUGGGUCAAUGGAUAAUAUCUAAAUGUAGAUAACAAGUUGUUAUAGAAUUAUGAUAUCUUUCAUAAGAUAGGGGGAAAACCUUCUUUAAUUUAUCUUAAUUGUGUAUAUGUGUUUUAAAGUGGUAAAAUUUCAUUGAGGUUGAGUACCAAUAUCUACAUGAAAAGGAUGAGUAUUACAAAUGAUAUCAAAAUUUAUCAUUGACUUUGACUUUGACUUAGACUUAGAACUGUAAGUUAAUGUUUUGAAAGGAUGUUACGAGAGAAUGCCAUAACAAAUGGUAUUAAAGACUUUGGUAGCAUAUUACGAGGUUUAAUGUUUAUUGCAAUAAAAUUAGGGAAUUAUGAUACUUGUUACUUUCUUUAUUUGAAGCUUUUUGGCCCUUCUAUGUUUUAUUAGGGUGAAAGAUGAUUCAUUCAUAAGAAGAAAACAAAAGAAAAUCUAGAGAGCUACCCUUUUUUUUUUUUUUUUGGAUUUUACAACAGAAAAGAAUCUAAAUAACCUUUAAAAAUAUAGAGCAACAAAUUUAAUCAUUGAAGAACUCUUUUAUUAAAAAUUUAUCUAGAUGGGUUAAAAUGUGCAUAAUGGAAGGAGUAUCUUUAAUUGAUCUUGUAGGUUGGGCGUGAUCUAGACCAUGGAGGGAAGGCUUUUUUGUUUUUUUGUUUUUAUAUUCAUACCUUUUGUUAUCCUUUGUAUAUAGGACUUGGUGUAUAGUUAUUUAUAAUUUUAGUGAUAUAUACUCUCCAUUUUCUUAUAUAGUUACUUCUUCUUUCAAGUGGAAGAUAACCCCGAGCAAUUGUCGAUUUUUUUCUAUCAAUUAUGGCUCUCCCCUCACUACCCCGUGGGAUGAGUUCACGCUUACCUAGUCAAUACUUAAAUUGGAUUCUACCUCAAUUUUUCUAAUUUACCCCAACAUUUUUCACUUAUUUGUGGGCAAUUUUUGGAUAUCAAACGCUUCGCUAACUAUACAUUUAAAACCCACCUCAAAAAGCACGUCGUUUUAUGAAUCAUGUUUCAUUAAUUUUCAUUGAUUUUGUCUUCAUAAAAAAUGGGUCUCAAAUCCUCUACCCAAAAAGAAAAAGAAAAAAAAAGGAUAGGCAAUAUAUGCGGACAACAUGAAUCAUUGAAGAACUCUUUUAUUAAAAAUUUAUCCAGAUGGGUUAAAAUGUGCAUAAUGGAAGGAGUAUCUUUAAUUGAUCUUGUAGGUUGGGCGUGAUCUAGACCAUGGAGGGAAGGCUUUUUUGUUUUCUUUUUUUAUAUUCAUACCUUUUGUUAUCCUUUGUAUAUGGGACUUGGUGUAUAGUUAUUUAUAAUUUUAGUGAUAUAUACUCUCUCUUUUCUUAUAUAGUUACUUCUUCUUUCAAGUGUAAGAUAAUCCCGAGCAAUUAUCGGUUUUUUUCUAUCGAUUAUGACUCUCCCCUCACUACCCCGUGGGGAUGAGUUCACGCUUACCUAACCAAUACUUAAAUUGGAUUCUACCUCAAUUUUUCUAAUUUCCCCCAAUAUUUUUCACUUAUUUGUGGGCAAUUUUUGGAUAUCAAACGCAACUCCAAAAAGGAAAAAAAAAAAAGAAAAGGAAAGGAUAGGCAAUAUAUGCGGACAACAUGAUAUGAAAAACUCGAAAAAUAAUAAAAUUCAACGACGCAGAGAUCUACUAAAUGCCUUCCAAGACACGAGGUCCUUAUGAUCCGGUACCCCUCUCCUUCCUCCCUUUUUCCCAAAAACUGGACUCAGCAACUUCUUCAGCACCCUCUUGAACCCGGACCCACGACGCCCACGUCGCACCUCCGCCCCCACCGCAGGCGGCUGAGGCAGGGGCGCAAAUGACCGAGCCGCCCCUGGCUCCGACAGGCUCCGACCCAGCAUCGCCCGCGUCAGCUGCAACUCAAAUGACAGCCUCUCGAACUGGUCCAACAGUGUGCUCUGCUCGUCUCCAAAUUUCCCAACAACAGCCGCUAUUUCUUCCAUUCUCUUCAUAUCGACCAUUAAGCUUCAAUCACAUUCACAUCAAACUCCUUCUGAUGGGUUCACAAAGUAUUUAUUGGAUGGACAAAGGUACAUGAAUAUAGAACAGUUUGCUCUCUACUUUUAUAUGCUGACAGCAGCUGGUUGCAUUUAUUUGACAGUCCUUGGAAAUUGAAAAUAUUCAAAUAUCGGUUUAUUUGAAUGCUUUCCAAGGAUAAUUCUUAUUAGAGUUUCAAUCACAACCUUAAACCCCAUGGCAAGAAUUCCUUGGGCAAAACCGGGCCAAACACUUUAUUCUUUCUUGCAUCACACAAGUUAUGUUUUGUUCCUACAAGCUUCUUCCACACAAAAGCAUUAUAGAUUGUAAAAAUAUAAAAAUGCAGUCCUAAUAUUCUAAUUCCAACAAAGAAAUGUCACAAAUAAAAAGAGUCAAUUUGGUAACUAUUUUUUAAAACAGUUUUGAAAAAUAGUUUUUAAAAACAGUGUUUAAAAACGGUUUUUUAAUGUUUAUAAAAUAAAAGUUUGAGUGCAUUUCAUAAUGAUUUUAGAAAGUGUUUUUAAACUUUCUUAUACUUCAAAAUUUUUAUCUUUCAAGUAUUAAAAAAGAUAAAAACACUUUUUAAAAUCGUUAUCAAAUGCACAAAUUACUUGAAAACCGAAAUUAUUUUUAAAUUAUAAAUAUUUUAUUUUUAAUCAUUCUACAUGUUUAUAUAAUUAUUUUUUAAUACAACUAUUAGAAAACAAGUGAAAAUAAUAUAAAACAAUUUUAAAAAGUUCUUUAAAAAUACCAUAUUUUUUGUUUUUAAAUAGAAAACAGUUUUUUGUUACAAAACAUGUUUUUUUUUAUUUUUUAUUAAGAAUAAUACAAAAAAUUGCUCCCGAAAACAAUUGUCAGACAAGUCCAAAGUAUCCACUUUAUUUUUCCUUGCGAUAACAAUAUAACCACCUUUAGUCAAGCCUAAGCCAACUGAUUAGCCUAAGAAUUUAAUAGGUAUAUUAUCUUUGUUGUUAAUAAAUACAAUUACAAAGUUUUUAAAAAUAUAUAUAUAAUUAAUUUUAAAAAAUAAUUAAAAUUUGUUUUUUUAGAUAAGUUUUAAGGGAGAUAAAUUAUGUAUAUUUAUUUUAUGUGUGCUAACUACACGUAAUUAAAAAGCGGCCCAAGCUUGGAGCCCAGUAGUAUAUUUUGGAUGGGUUUCGUUGAUAUCGUGGACCAUUUCUCGGGGUUAAAUGAUUGGGCCAGACCAUGGGCUGGGCUCGAAUUAAAAAAGUCUGUUCAAGGCCCAGUCUAGACGGAUCAGGCUCGGCCUAGGGGGGAAAUGGGUUUGGCUUGAGGUUUGUAAAUGAGUCCGACAUAUAGGAAUUGGAAUGAAGGCCCAUUCGGCCCAUAAAACCCGAACUGUCGAUUCUCGCUGAUUCACCCACUCAAUUGCGUCAUGGUGAGCUGGUGGUUCUCCACUUCCACUGGUUUUGAAUCGAAAACAAAAACCUAAACUUCGAUCUCCUUAUACCCUCAAUAACUCCUUCCUUUAUUUAAUGCGUGAAGUCUAAGCUCAGUGAUUCGAUUUCAGUUGCUAUUGGCUAAGGACUUGUAAUUUUCCAGGAAAAGGAGGUUGUUUUCAUGAUCACAAGUCUGUUUGGAUGGAUAGAAAUGAAUUUCUUCCUGUGAUUUUCUUGCUUUUUCUGGUUGUAAAUGUUUCUGGUGGUUCAGUAGCUGGUAAGUUCCGAAAAUUGGCUGAUGCUGAGCCAAAGGAGGAUUCCACUGCAACCAAGGUAGUACUGAAAACAAUUCUCUGAUUAGAAUUGCUUAUUUUGAAGUGAAAUAAUGAUUGCGAUUCUGAGACGUAAACCAUUGUUUUUAGAUUGAUCCGCCGCCGUCUCCAGUUUCUGUUGGCAAUCAAUCGGAGCCAAAGCCGAUUGAUCCAGGCAAACUCGGGAAGGAGAAAUCUAAGGAUGCCCCAGUACCCACCACCAACUCUUCAAAAGCAGAUUCAAAAGGGAAGCAAAAAGAGAAAAAUGAUGAUAAAGCCAGUUCAGAACUGGGAACAUAUGGGACUUGUGAUGGGUUACUUGAGAAGUGCACGGACCCCAAGAAAAAGAUGAUUGCUUGCAUUCAAAGUUUUGAAAAUGGUAUUUUCUCAUGGAUUAUGGUUUUGUUGCAAUGUGGUGUUGCUUUAGGUAGAAUGAUUCUGUACUUGCAUUUAGUAUCAGUUUUAGUGAAUGGGGUCUGCAAGUCUCAUUUUGGAAAACUACUAAGAGCAAUAUCAAAUUAAAUGAACUAAAUUUUUAUUGACAAGAUUUGUUGGGUAUCAUACUGAGUUGUUAUCUAAAUACUAUUGUCUUGUCAAAACUUUUGAUAUAGAAGUAUUUCAGAUAUAGGGCUCAAGUAUUUUGUUAUAUUAGUAUGAGAAUAUGAUGGCUUAAACGCAUUGAGAAUUGAGAUAAAUGGCAGAUUCAGGGCUAGACAACUGUGGAACAUCCAUGCUGGAAUUUUAGAGCUAGCAGCUCAUUAACACUUGUACAACUUAGAGACUUUACUAUUUCAAAUGUUGAGUAUAAAGUUUGGCAGGCAUGUGUAGGAGUCUAAAUGAUGUCAGUAAAACUGUUACUGCUUCUGGUAGAACAAUUUUGGACUUCUUGGAGGUGCAUUUGCUUGGUAGCAAGCACCAUAUCUGAAAUUACUUAUUGGGUCGAAAGGUGGCAGUCAGGAAGUGCAAUUUAAAUAGAACAGCAAUUGGAUUGCAAUGUUGACAACAAAAUAAAUGGUUUAGCUUCAAGCUUUUCUAUUACAUAAUAUGGAGGAAAUCAGGAAUUCAAAAUUCCACUCUUAUUAGUGAGCGGUAACCUGGUUACUGUGGUUACCAUUCUCCCUUGUGUAUCAUUUCCACUUUUCUGCUUGUGGAGUUAGAUGCAGCAUUCUCCUGUAGUCUGAAUAGUUUCAAUGGGGAUACCGAAACAAAUGCAUUUUUAGCUAUUUUCUUUGUACUUCAUAGUUUUUUUUAUAAGCAAAAUAUUGGAAGUGGACUAUAAUUUAAAGCAUUUCAUGGUUCCUGUUUUAGAACAAUCACAGUGGAUUCUAAUCUUUAGGUGUCUAUGUUACAGCUGUCAAACAGAACUUAAUAUAUUAGUUAAAAGCACGGAUUCCUUUUUGAGAUAUUGAAUUGUGUUGAUGUUUAUUCUAUGAUAUGUUGGAUACUCCUCUAUCAACAUUUAUUGGCAUGUCAAUCACUAGUUAAAGUGUAAAUCUGUCUAUGAGGGUAAAGAGCAACUAAAGUGUAACUUUGAACACAAGUGUCUGCUUUUGGUUCGGAAACUUCAACGGGUCUACAUUUGUUUAUUUCAGAAUUGUGUGGAAGGAUAUGUGAUUGUCCUGCUUAUGUUUUGGAAGCUAUUGAUAUUUGUUUUUUGUAUUGGCCUUGAGUCCUAUCUAAAGUGCAAGAUGAUGGAGAAGGUUCCAGGUUUUAUUCCCAUUUAAAGGCCAAAUAGAAAAAACUAUAAAAAAAUUAUAUUUUUAGAUUGAUUUCUAUUGUUAUUUCACAUGCACAGCCUUAGAGGCAUGCUGAAUAUAUUCUUGUUCAUAUAAAUUUGUUCAAAUCCAUACUCAAGACUCAAACCAAUGUGAAUAUUUUUAUUUAUAUAGAUUCAUGAGUGCACAUAUGCACAAACAUAUCCUCAUCUCAAUGUUUUGAGGAGUUCUUAUCUCUGUGCUCCAAGUCCACAUGAGUGUGUGAUAGUUGUCCAUGCCUGCAUUCUUGGCUUUUAUUUCUUUCUGAGUGUUUAAGAUGUGUUAUUGGACACAUUCUUUAAUAACAUUUUGUUUCUUAUAAAGGAUUGAUGUCUCACUGGGCAUUGACUUUCUACUAAGCUAUAUCUGAUUAGGAUGGUUUCUGCAGUUCUACGUAGGAUGAGUUAGUACUUCUGAUGCUAUAUUAUUCUGUGUGGGUGCUUUUUUUGUUGUGAUAAGCUUUAGGCAUGUUUAGUCACUCAAAUUAUCUAUCUCAAAUGGCCUCAAAUAUAACCUCCUGUAUCCAUUUUUGCUACCCUUUAGUGGGCCUUGGGUUCUUUUGCCAUCUUUCGAGUAACUUGUUAUUAAGGAUUCAAGGAAGCUAAUAAAACAUCAUUUAAUGUCUUCUGCAAAUUUGGAAUGCUGUCUGAGUGUUUGUCGGUUAACUUAUUUUCUGUUAUAUUUGUUGUUUAUUGACAUGGAUUCAAUUCCCCACAGAAUAUUGUGUUGAUAUACCAUUAGUUUUACAUAUUUCUUGUCAAGGAGAGAGUUCUUCAUUGCCUUCCAUUUUCCUUUGUAACAGGAUCCAAAGCCCUCAUUGUCCAAAAUGAAGGAGAGAACACUUUGAAAGUGAAUCUUACUGUCUCGGAUUCUGUGAAAGAUGCUUUGGAGGUUCUAGUAAUACCAAAACAUCAAACUAGAAGUGUAUGGGUCCUUUCUCUUCUGCUACUUUGUCUUUUUCUUUUGAUCGUUAUGAAAGCCAUUGGAAAAAGAAUGAUGGCAUGAACCUGAAAUACAAGCCUUUCUGAUGGAACACUACUGAACUACUGUUCAUAUGAUGGUUUUUAAUCUUAGUGUAGUAUCAAAAGUGUCACCAGUUUCUAUUGCAUGCAUUAAAUAGAAACAUUGUCAAGUAAUAAUGACGAGGAAAAAUAAGCUUACAAAAAUAGUCUAUUUUUGGGUGGUUUUAUAGGAAAUCGCAUGAGAUGACAUGGUGGGGUAGUGGAGUGGGGUAUGAUUUCUUUUUUUGCUGUUUCUUGGAUGAAAUGAUAAAGCAAGGUUGAUUCAUGUGUUCAAUUUUUCAGCUUAGAUGAGAUUCAUGUUCUAGAAUUUUAACAAAUUCACUUAUUUGUGUCUUUACUGUAUUGGUGUUAGAACCAGAGAAUUGGAAAGAGGUAAUAUCUCUGAUAAGAGAAUAAAAAACACUAGGGACUUCAAUGCGCAGCUUGGUAGGGCACAAUGGAGGGGUGGUUUUGCAUAAAUCAUUGUCUGAUCCUUUUCAGUGUUCUGUUCUCAAAUAUGAGUAUUCUUGCUUUCUGUUAAUAUGGCAUAUCUAUUCCACUCCUUUUCUAGAUCAAAAUCCUCCUCUAAAAUAACCAAAUUGUUUUUAUAACUGAUAUAGAGGAUCACCUCCAGAAUUAGAUGAUUCCUAAAACUUCUUCAAAAGUAGUUUACAAUAGAGGAACUUUGGAGUCCUGGCCACGAGGACUUUGAGGAAUCAUCCAAUUUUGGAGAUGAUCCUCUAUUUCAGCUGUAGAAAUAAUUUGUUUAGAGGAGGAUUUUGGUUUUGAAAAUGAGCGGAACAGAUAUUUCAUAUGAAAAGAAAGAAAGAAUACUCCAAUUUGAGAACAAAACAGUGAAAAAAAUCAAACAAUGAUUUCAAAAAAACUUCCCUUCCUUGGGUCUUACCAAGCUAUGCACUAAAGUCCCCAAUGUUUUCUAUUUUGUAGUCAAAGAUAUUAUCUUUUUCCGUUCUAUAGCUCUGAUACAAUUCCAACAUUCCUAAAUGGAUAUAACAUAAAAACAAUUCAAAAUUAAAAUCUGAAAUACAAAAAGAAAAUAGUAGUAAGAGAAAUCUUACAUUCAAACUUAAAGAUAACUUUUGAUACAAGAAGCUCACACCAAGAAUACAAGAAGAGGUUACUUUAUAUAAGAGAGCUACAAUAAUUAAUGGGGUCCUUCAGAGAUUAGAAAAGAUAGCCUAGAUAAAAGAGAAACUAUGUGAACUUUGUCGCGUCUUGGGUAAGCAAUAAUGCUUUGGCAGAGUUGUACAUAAUCAUGUGAAUAGGGUUGAAUAUCGUCAAAAGCAACUUUUGCACAAUUGUCCCCUAUAUUCCAUUUGACAAAGACCAUGUGAAUGCACCUAAGAGCAAAUUGUGCUUUUACCAUCUAUCUAGAUUCUUUUAAUUAUCAAGAUUUGAGAUAAAUCUCCUUCAUAGAUAUCAUCCAAGUUUAUUGUGGUUCUAGAAGUAGAAAGGGAAUAUGCUAGAGAAGAGUAAUUUUUCUCUGAGUUCUUCAUAUGAUAACCCUUUCACCUUUUCUUUU